UUUUUUUUUGUGAAAAAGGAGGAUAAACCCCCGGCCUCUGCAUCUGAACGAUGCAUACGGCCAUCUUAUUAAUUAUUCACGGAGAUCAUACAAAGUAAUACAUCAGUGAGUCUGAAGCCACCAUCUAGGCAACACCUGUUGCUACUCCUAUCCCGUUGAUGAAGGUGUGUCGAAUAUUCGGGCCUAAUACCAAACGGACAUCGCACCAAACCCUAACAUCUAAAGCCGGAUGCCCCAGCCCAGCCACAUGCUAGGACUGGGUCCCAUACCGGACCAACGCACUCUCAGAGGCUGCCGCUGCCAUCUUCCACCAGUCCAUCUCCAGAGCAGCAACUGACCCAUCGACCUUGCCUGGCAUGCCGUCGACGCCACCAUGACGCCAGACAACUCCACCAUCCUGCACGAAUCCGUCCACACGCGCCCGUCGCCGAACCUCCGCAGCACCAUGCCAUCGGGAUCCGCCGUCGGCCUUACGGUGGAUGAAACACCGCUCUUCCACUUGUCCCGUCCAACUAGCACUUGCUCCAAAACGAUGCCCUCAGGAGGGACAACGGCAUCAAAGGUACCAUCAUCAUCUGAUCCGGUAGAUCCAGAUCUAUGGUUUCCCCCGGAGCAUCACGAGUGGGGUGCCACGACCUGCAACAACGAUGCCUCGAGAAGGGAACGACGUCAUAGACGCCGCCAUCGUCUGCCAUGACCGAAGUCGACGUGAUUUUCACCGAAAGUCGCAUCCCCCCAACCUCGCAGCUAGCUGGAACCGAACGGAGCCUCGUCGUGGAGACGAGGGCCGUCGUCGGCACGCCGGCAGGGAGCCUCUAGCCGCCCCUCACCGGUCCUCCUCGCGCCACCGGCCGGCCAAGGCCGUACCGAGACGGAUCUGGACAGGAUGCCAGAUCCGCAGCCAUCGGAGCCACCCAUGUGCCCGCGGCCGCCACACCGCCGGACAUGUAGGUUCCCAUCGCCACGGCGUGGCAGGGGCGUCGCCCCUGACUGCCGCCCCCGGCCUCCCCGCGUGAGACGCCGCCUCCGUCUCAUUGGAUCUGCCCGCGGCAACCACCCACCCUGGAUCAUGCAGGGCCCGCUGAGGGAGUCCUGGACUAAGGGGUCCUCGGGCGUCCGGCCUGUUAUUCAUUGGGCCGGACUGAUGGGCCGUGAAGAUGUGAAGGCCGAAGACUAUACCCGUGUCCGGAUUGGACUCUCCUUGGCGUGGAAGGCAAGCUAGGCGACCAACUAUGAAGAUUCCUUCUUAUGUAACCGACCCCAUGUAACCCUAGAUAUCUCCGGUGUCUAUAUAAACCGGAGAGCGUAGUCCGGAUAAGAGGAUACUCAUUUACCAUAUGCACAUAGGCUAGACUUCUAGGGUUUAGCCAUUACGAUCUCGUGGUAGAUCAACUCUUGUAACACUCAUAUUCAUCAAGAUCAAUCAAGCAGGAAGUAGGGUAUUACCUCCAUAGAGAGGGCUCCAACCUGGGUAAACAUCGUGUCCCCCGUCUCCUGUUACCAUCGAUCCUAGACGCACAGUUCGGGACCCCCUACCCGAGAUCCGCCGGUUUUGACACCGACACCCGCCGCCACCGCGGCCCUUGCCGGCGGCAGCGGCGGCUGUGGAUGGAGGAGCAGGGAGGGGCUGGCGGCGCGGGAUCAGGGGCCCUGGUGCCGCCCAAGGGGAGGCGACGCGAGGGGGAGGGGAGUCGUCGGGGUGAGGUGGCGGUGCUAGAUCACGAUCCCUUCUAGCCUCUUUUUCACAGUAGUGUAGUGUGAAAAAACGUUUUACAUUAUGGGACGAAGGGAGUAUCAAUCUAUUCAUCAACUAUCAUGGGAGUACAUAGCCUUAUACAAUGCCAAGUCCUUAGUGAAAUAAAUUCGUUUUCCUUUAAGCAUAUCUACUUAUUUGUAGAGGGUAUACGCUUAUUUGCAAAGGCAUCUAUGGAUUUGAUCAUAUUGUGCUCGAGAGCGAUACCCGGGUUGUUGUUAACUUAUGCAACUUUGCAUUUCCUAGGAGGUAAUUAAAGGAGCUUUGCGAGAGCUGUACUUAUGUCAAUAAUUGAGAGGCCAACGUGGUUGCUCAACGUUGGGCCCAUCAAGCUAGUGAGUUGAGGAGAAGGUGUCUAUGGAUUAACUGUAUUUCCUCCUUCAUCCAAGAUUGUAUUUCUUCAUUUUCAAAAAGAUUGUAUUUCUCGUGAUUGUUACCAACAUGGUUAAGCAAUAAAGCUCCUAACUUGCAAAAAGAAAAGACACCUACGUAAUCAGAGGACAUAUAAAACAAGCAGCGUAGAGUGACAAGAGCCAACUGCCCAAGGAUCUAGCUGGUCUUGAACGCUGGGAAGAGACAAGGACAUUGUCACUAGACAUGCAUUCAGCAUAGCAACAAAUCUAAUUUUCCACUAGCCUCGUGAUGUUUUAUGCUCAAUUAUGUUAACAUUAAGCACAACCAGCAACAAAGGCUGGUACUCUAGGACAAGGACGAUUACAUGUUUAAAAAAAUGAAACUUCAGAGCAAAGACUAGUUUGCGUUGUACUCCCUCUGUAAAGAAAUAUAAGAGCGUUUAGAUCACUAAUUUCUUUACGGAGGGAGUAACUUGCAAGUGUGUUGAUGGAUUCGAUAUAUUCAUGAGCCUUCAUAUACACACUCACAACGAGGUGCGAAGGAUUCGUAUGGCGAACACGACAUCUCAGGGAAAACUGAACGGACACAUCUCCUCCAUUCAAACGCAGAGUUCAGACGGCGAAUGCUCCAUGUGUAGAAGAGGAAGCAGGCAAGACCUUCUGCUCUUAGUCCACCUGCUGCUGUUUUUCCAGUGCUAACCCAUCUGCUCUGCUCGAUCGGCAACAAAUUUACCAAAAACGAAUACUACUAAGUACUAGUACCUCUGUUCAUUAAUAUAAGACGUUUUGGUAGUUUAAAUAAAACUGCCAAAACUUCUUGUAUUAAUGAACACAGGGUGUACAUUAUAUGUUCAGCGUGUUCAUUGCUCUCCCAAGAAACCAAAUCAGAGGAAGCCGUCCCUGCGGUCCUGCUCCUCAGCGUCCUUGUUCGCCGUCUGCACGGCCUUGUACCACAGAUACCCCUGGAGUCCAAACGAGAAUGAACUCGAUCAACAACUGCAAUACAAAUUUAAUCUACUAGCAUAGAUCCGGCGUGGCAGAGUACGUACGGAGGUCGGGAUGCCGGUGACGGCGAAGAAGCCGAGGAUGGGCGCGUAGAGCGGGCUGUCGGUGCCCACGACGCCGAACACCGCCCGCCCGUUCGUGUACUCGAAUAUCGACCCGAUCUGCACGCGGAUGCGACGGUCAGCGGAGCGGAGCGGAGGAGGAGGAGAAGAAGGGGGGAGAUAAAGAAGGGCUCGAGAAACGUACGGCGGCGAUGGCCGUCACGGCGGACGCGAGCAGGUAUGCGUAGAACGGGACCUGGGCGGCGUCGCCUUCCUGCCCCGAGGCCCCGCCUUCGUCGCGCGCCCACGGAGGAGGCUCGUCGGAGCCCGGCCGGGCCCAGGAGGGGACCUUCUCGUCCGCCUUCUUGCCCGACGACUUGGCGGCCGCGACCACCAGCUUUCGGCGCGACGACGACGGCCGCGCGCACGGCGCGGCGGCCGCUUGGGAGGCGAGGCGAGGUUCGGGCUUCCGGCUCGGGCCGACGCAGCGCGAGCCGCAGAGGGAGAUGGCUGCCGCGGCCAUGGAUGCGAGCGCGAGGUCUUGCGGUGGGAGAGCUUGGAGCGCGGCGUGUGUGUGUGUGUGGAGUCGACCGAGGAGUGUGGAUAGGACGUGCGCGGCGCACGGUGCACGGUUGCCGGCUUCUCCUCCGUUGGUCACGUGCUGUGGGCUGAGCUUUAGCGGCCCACGUGUGAGGGACGCAUUAAGCUUUUAUUGAGCUGGGCUCAAAUACUCCCCUAACAGGAAAAAAAAACUGGGCUCCAAUACCGAAUUCAGCAAUGCUCCGUCAUUGUCUAAAAAAAAGCAAUGCUCCGUCAUUGUCCAAAAAAAAUGCUCCAUGAUUGUCUCAAAAAAAAACAGCGCUCCCUCAUGUUUCAAGCUUCCAUGCAGAGCAGCCAUCAAGGAAUGAGACACUUUGAAGUCAGGGCUUGUGAAGAAGAAUAGGAAUGGACGAUCUCACUACUGCUUGUAACGAGAAUCGGAUUCCAAUGAAAAGUUCAGUGUGUCCUAUCGCAUGUAUGAACCUGAUCUGGCAAUAUUAUCGAGUGGAUUUAUCGAAGCAUCAUUAGCAACGUCGAACGAAUAAAAGUUGCGUCAUUUCUUCCUGUCAAGGGAUGUUGAGGAAAUUGUAAAGACUCCGUUGAGUACAGGCCAACUAGAUGACUUAUGGGCUUAGCAACCAAAGGCCAUCAGGUAUUCAUAGUGAGAUCAUCACAUUGUCUUCUAUUAAGUACAAAGAGCAAGAGGGAAGACUAGUUGGAAGAGAGACCUAUGAAUUCUGACGAUUGGCGGGGAAAAGAAAAAAACCGUCUACUACGCUAUGGCAGGUGCAGGUCUAAGCAAAAGGUUGUGUUGUUCUAUGGAGGUUGGCCAAGCUAUUCCUUCCUUUCAUGGAUAUAUAAAACACAUAAAUAUUGCAUUGUUGAACAGGUGCUCCAUCUACUACGAUGAAGAUACAUAGCACCACUCGUUGUUAGAGUGCACCAUUGCCAGGUGUGUAUCAACUCUCCUAAACGAGGAAACGAGGGGUCAGUUGGAUUUGCAAAGGUAGCGAUGCGCUAGAAUUUGGUUGUUUAACUUGAUUGAAAACCUUCUCCAUGUACAUGUUGCAAGAAUAUCCGUGAUGAUGUGGGCAGGUGGGUGCUAGGAGGAAGGCCAUGCAUGAAAAUAUAUUUAAGUCCCUGUUUGUCGCACACAACUUCCUUGACUAGUUAUUCUCAUAUCCGUCGAUGACUAAACCCGAGAUGGGAGUGGAUACUCCUCGUGUACCAGUGGCGGCUGAAUGGUAUCCGUCUCCCACUGACUUCGUCAAGAUAAAUGUGGACACUAGAGUGAGCAAGAACAUAGAUUGGGAAUCUGUCACUAUCGUGGCUCAUGAUGCAGCUGGACAUUACCCGGGGGGCUCCACCAUCUCUUUCGCCGAGCAGUUUGAAGCUGAGACAAUGGAAGCAUCUUUGCCUCGGAUCUGAGUCGGAGGAAAUCAAGACUUGGUCCAAGAAGCUUAGUGACUAAAGGUUUUCCCACGAACCAAGAAGUUUGAAUAAAUAAUUUUUUUAGACAAAGUUCGAAUAAUUAAGUGCACUCUAUCUAGAAGCCCGCUACCCCUACAACUGGCGCACCAUUUGUGUGGUUUGGAAAUCUGCCUAUGGGUGUGGGCUUUCUUGCCUUAUUUCUGAUAAUUGAUAAAGGGGCAGAUGAUUACUAAAGAAAUUACAUUGACGAUCAACGAGGGGGUGGAAUCAAAGAGACACGGAUGGCUUAAGAGCAUAAUAGGUAUAAAUAAUGUCGUAAAAAAUCAAUUUCAGUAAAAAAAAGGAAAAUAGAUGAAAUAUUGUUUACUUAUGUACGUAUAAAUGUUCGUGCACAUGAAUAAAAUGUUCAUUGUCUAUCUGAUUUUUUUUCUUGUAUGAAUAAUUAUAUAUGUAUAUUGUUGUUUUACAUUUUUAUAUAAAAACAUCUUUGGAAAAAGGCCUUUUAAAAAAGUUCUGAUAUAAGAAAAUGUUUUUUUAUAAAAAAGUUAUAUAUGUAAGAAAAUGUUGUUACAUCUCCCUCCGUCCCGAAUUAGUUGUCUUAGAUUUGUUUAGAUACGAAUGUAUAGAUUUGUUUUUGUUUAGAUAUGAAUGUACUCUAGAUACAUUCGUAUCUAAACAAAUCUAAGACACCUAAGUUGUGACGGAGGUAAUAUGAAAUAACGUCUUUGAGAAAAGAUCUGGUAUAUAAAGCUAUAUUUUGUAUUAAAAAAUCAAUUAUUAAAAAAAACAUAGACUAUUAAAAAGUUGUUACACAUGUGAACAUAUGUUCAUGUAAUGUGGAAAAAAAUUUCAAGUCCAAAAAAAGCUCAAAACUUAUAAGUUGUAACCACGCGCGAACUGUAUGGCAGGUUAAUUUGUCUCCAAGGAGCGCGGUGAAGGCUUAUUUAUACUCAGUUCUAACAUUAGCCUUCUCCCACUGUAUCCCAUAAUUAUCAUGUAGGCCGAUGUGUAGUAUCAAGCCGCUGUGGAAGUCAGGUCUAUGUACCUAGUUGAAGGUGCGUUCCACUCUGUGCUAGAGUAGAUGGUAUGUGUGAGGAAUCCUGUCUUUCAGCCUUAUUUCGUGGCGUUUUGGGCUCUUGGUGGCUACAUUUUUACGCAGAGAAUGGUUAUGUGCGCUCUCUGCUUCGCCGUGUACUUACAUUAAGGUUAGUUUGGCUGUCUGUUUUGUUAAUAGGAAUCGCAGCAAUGCAUCUCCCAGCUUUGCAAUGCGAACGCUGCGAUUGAUCGGUAGGUUGAUCACGGGACCUGAAGUUGGAUGUUUGGAUUGUGACUAACAUUGGCAUCACCAUCAUUUUGGUCAUGAUUUUGGACGGUCAGCAAGGAAUUGGUUUGCUCAUACCCGUUCCCCCAGUGGUUUACUGUUCCUGCAAAAACCAAAACACGGAACAAUUAACGUCAGCUUAUCAAAGUGUGUUUUUACAGUUCAGAAGAAGAAGAAGAAGAAGAAGAAAACACUAUAUCACUAUGUAAAGAGACAGAUAUUCAUUCAAUUUGGCUCUGGCCAAAACCUCAAAAUGAAAUGGAAACAUGCCAAAAACGUAAAUUGCCUGAAAGGCAUGGGGCAUGGACAAGACUUGACCUGGCGUGCUGCUGCUGGAGUGGGAAUCUCAUACAGUACUACUCACGCACGCACGUAGCACCAAAGGAAUCCAAAGGGGUUCAGACAGUGCCAUGUCCAUCAUAUCCUGGUGAGAUUCUGCAGUUUUAGGUGUCAUUUUCUUCAGCACAUGGUCACGGGAUCAGACUAGAAUAAUACAUCAGUUACAAGGGGUGGUGGUGGGUGGUUGCACUCACAGCGUUAGACGAGCACGCACCGGCAGCUGCCGCUCCACUAGAUACAGACCUCUGUCCGGCCUCCGCCGCUCUGCUAGAUCGCCACCUUCCAGUACGCAUCGCACCUGGGGUCACUGCCUUGAGUGAGCUCUGGGAAGGUGGAUGCAUCAGCAGCAGCGAGAAAUCAGUUCAGAGUUUAGCCCAUAGCCAUGAAACUUGUGUUCAAGGAGCAAUUCAACGGCCGGCUGUGCUGCAGAGAAUAAGGCUAAGUAGGGCGGUGCAGAUGAUCUUGUAGUACUUCCUUUCCUAUCCUUCUUUUGCAGUCCACAGCCGAGUUUCUUUCAUGGGCUCAUCUUGCUCUUUGUUUUUCAGUCGGACAAUCUCUAGCUUUCAGUUCAGGGCAUGCAGCUUCGCGCAGAGGAGAAAAGUGGGAACAGCUGAAGGUAGUCAGAUGAAGGUAGUGUCUCAACAACACAUAACUCAAGUUUUCUCUAGAUGGUUGAUGCAACUCACAAAUAUACAUUGCUAUGCUAGCCAAAUAUUUCACCUGAUCACAGUUUUGGGUUGCUCUGAAGCAAGACAAUGAUAUGCACUGACUUUGACUUAGAAAGAAAGAAACAUGAUUGCCUUAGCUCAUGUAGGUAAUAACAUGGGUCUAAUUUGAACAUUUAUAACAUCGUUCAGCACUAAUUCAAGCUGUUGCCAACUUCUGCGGGCCCUAACUUGGUUUGCUAACAAGAUAAUAGAUCAAGACAGCUCUUGUUUCUUUCCAAACAGCCACCAAGUCUCUUCUGCUAUUUGAUCAGAAUUUUUUCUACAAGUACUAACUUUGACUCGUGCUAUUCGUAAGAGUUGUGGAAUUUUUCUCCAGCCCAAAAGAUCUGUUGUGCAUCAUGUUUUUUCUCACGUGUGUGCAGGAAAAUAUCGCCCAUCAGGGCCAAAACAAUUAAAGCCAGUCAAAAGAAUCAGUAGAAAUCUUGAAGGGGGAAAGAGUGUAUGACCCGAACUCAGAAGCAGAAAGAGCAGGAAGAUAAAUAAAAUCAAGCAUCGCUACAGAACUAAUCUGAUGAGCAAGAGAAAAAAGGAAGAGCGAGAACAUCAGCGCAAGAGGCCACUAAGUGUAACAGAUACAGACCUGAUGGGAAAAGGCAAAGGAAGAGAUGCCCUACCUGCCAUCAGCUAUACAGAUCAACAAAUACCUUUUCGGAACUUGCGUACAAAUCAUCAACCAUUGCAACUCAAGGAACCAUGCAUGUGCAGGUGCCGAAUUUGCAAGGUGUUACGAGGAAAUUCAAAUCAUCAACCAUUGCAACUCAAGGAACCAUCAACUGUACACAGUGCAGUAACUGUGAAGCAAAUUACCAAACAAAGACAAGAAAAUGAAUUAGCAAGAACAGCAAGGAUGAAGGGGAAACUUGUGUUGAAGGGGCAAUUCAACACAAAUACAGCAAGGAUGAAGACAUGGAAUUUUGAGGAGGCAGCUAUAAGAAAACAACAAAUACUGGGCUGGAGAUUGCAAAAAUUAUGCACUUGCCAACGUUGCCACACGUUCAGGGCAAAAUCAAAUUAUCAACCAGCACAAGUCAUGGAAUCAUCAGCUGUAAACAGUGCAAUAAUGGCUGACCAGAUGAUGAAACUAAGACGCCAGGACGAAUUAACAAGAACGGCACGGAUGAAGAGGAAAGCACAAAUUCAACUUAACAAGAGCAGAAAACGUGCCAGAACCAAUAAUGGUGAUAUAGACAGGGUUGACAAUUCUAAUGCCAGUAAGAUAUGGAACUUUGGGGGGCCAACAUGCAUCUGCCAACACUGCCAUGCACUUAUGUGGCAUGGAGAAAAACUACAAUCUUCCAGUAGCACACAACCAUCCUUUGGACAAUGCUGCAAACAAGGGAAGAUUAUCUUGCCGCCAUUUAAAGAACCACCGCCUUACCUUACAAGUUUAUUGACAAGGGGUGGAGGGGAAAUAUCAGCGAACUACCGAAAAAACAUUAGGUCUUACAAUUCCAUGUUUGCGUUCACAUCAAUGGGGGGAAUUUUGGAUAAGAAAAUAAACAAAGGGCGUGGACCUUAUGUUUUCCGACUGAAUGGUCAGAACCGCCACCAGAUAGGAACCCUGCUACCUGAAGAAGGAAAUAAGCCUCGUUUUCAACAGUUGUAUAUUUAUGACACAAAGAAUGAGAUCCAGAAUAGGAUAGAAGCAUCAAGAUCUGGUAAACGUGAUGCCUUACUAGAUGAAAAAAUUGUCAGUGGCCUACUAACCAUGCUCGACAAGAAUAACACAUUGGCACAAUCGUUCCGGAUGGCAAGAGAUAGAUUUAAAGAAAAUGACUACAAUAACUUCACUCUAAGGUUACUCGGCGAUAGGGAUCAAGAUGGGAGGCAACACAACAUGCCAUCAACAUCAGAAGUUGCCGCGUUGAUAGUCAAAGAUCCAACCCAAAGAUAUGGACGUGACAUUGUUCUUGAGUACAAAGAUAAGAAACCUAAAAGGAUAUCAGAAAUUCAUCCAAAAUUCAUGGCCAUGCAAUACCCGUUGCUCUUCCCAUAUGGAGAAGAUGGUUAUAGACUUGGAAUAAAAUACAACAAAAGGAAAGGUUUAAGUAACAAGAAAUACAUCAGCAUGCUGGAAUACUAUGCAUAUCACUUCCAACAGCGCCCAGGCCAGUCGAUGUUAAUGCUAACGUGUGGAAAUCUGUCAAUGCAGUUUGUGGUUGAUGUCUUCACAUGCAUCGAACAUAAUAGGCUCCACUGGAUCAGAGAAAAUCAAGGAAUUUUACGAACGGAACUUUAUGACGGACUACAGGAUGCAUUCAGAAAAGGAGACACACGGACAGAACAAGUAGGCAGGCGAAUAGUACUCCCAGCAAGUUUUACAGGAAGUCCUCGAAACAAAGAGCAAAACUACCAAGAUAUGAUGGCAAUAUGCCGUUGGGCUGGACAACCCCAAUUGUUCAUAACAUUCACAUGCAACCCUAAUUGGCCAGAGAUUCGGUUGAUGCUAAAUGAAGCUGGGAACCAGAAGCCAGCAGAACGUCCUGAUAUUGUAGUUCGAGUGUUCAUGAUAAAAUUGAAAGAGCUAAUGUCUGAUAUUAGCAGAAAACAGCAUUUUGGAAAGACUAAAGCAUGUAAGUAUUUGUAAAUCAUUUCCCGCAAAAAAAAGUAUUCGUGAAUCAUCACUUAUCACUUUAUCAGUAUCAGAUGCUUGCAUUUUUUUUUCAUGGCCAGUCAUUUACUAACACAAAUUUUAAAAAUGCAGCCGUCUACACAAUAGAAUUUCAAAAGAGAGGACUCCCACAUGCCCAUAUUCUAAUUUUCCUUGAAAACGGACAAAAAAGUCUCAACCCCUCACAAAUUGAUGAAAUAAUAUGCGCUGAGAUCCCGGACAAUGACAAGGAUCCAGAAACAUUCAAAGCUGUCAAGAAUUUUAUGAUGCACGGACCGUGUGGAGAGGCAAAUCCAAAGUCCCCGUGCAUGGAGAAAUAUAUGUGCACCAAGCGUUUUCCAAAAAUAUUUUCUGAAGAGACGAUCGUAGAUGAAGAUCAUUUCCCACGAUACAGGAGACGAGACAAUGGGCGACAAAUAGAUAAGGGAGGAGUCAAAAUGAACAAUGGUUUUGUUGUACCAUACAACAAAGAUCUGCUGGUGAAAUUCCAAGCGCACAUAAAUGUGGAGUGGUGUAAUAAAUGCAUGUCAAUCAAGUACCUCUUUAAGGACAUACACAAAGGAGAUGACCAAGCAACAGCACUGGUUCAAGAAAAAGUACCAUCAAAGACUGAUGAUGAGAUUAAAAUGUACCUAAGAUGUAGAUACAUAACAGCGACUGAAGCAUGCUGGCGAAUAUUCAAAUUCCCUCUGCAAUACCAAGAACCAUCUGUUGAGAGGCUAACGUUUCACCAGGAGAACAAGCAACUAGUAAUUUUUCCUGACUCCAGAAACCUAGAUGAAAUCAUUAGACACCCAAGAUCAGGUGUCACUAUGUUUACCGAGUGGAUGGAGACGAACAAAAAGCAUGAAGAUGCCAGAGAAUUAACAUAUUCAGAGUUUCCUACAAAAUGGACAUGGAAUCACACAAAAAAGAAGUGGACACGGAGAAGAGGAGGAAAGAAAAUUGGCAGGAUCUACAAUGCACAUCCUGCAAGUGGAGAAAGGUACUAUCUUAGAGUUCUCCUCAACACUGCGAAGGGUUGCAUGACAUUUGAAGACAUCAGGACAGUCAACGGAAUUGUGCACUCAUCAUACAAAUCAGCAUGUCGUGCGCUAGGAUUUCUGAACGAUGACAAUGAGUGGAUUGAAUGCAUCAAGGAAGCAUCCAACUGGGCAUCUGGGGUGCAACUACGACAAUUGUUUGCAACUAUACUGUGCCACUGUGAGGUUACUGACCCAAGGAUGUUAUGGGAAUCCAACUGGGAGGUACUCUCUAAAGACAUACAGCAUACACCAAGCUGGAUCUUGGACUUUCCAGCCCCCUUCAGUCCUUCACACAAAAGGGAAUGCAGUUUAAUGGAAAUUGAGAAGCAAAUGGGACAAGCUGGAAAAUCACUAAAGGAAUACCCUGGCAUAGAGCUACCAAAUAUGCCCGAGUUACAUGAAAUUGAGAAAAGGCUUAUAAAUGAAGAGAUGAACUAUGACAAAGACAAAUUGAAGGGUGAGCACGUGCAAAUACUAAAGAAUCUAAAUUUUGAUCAGAAGAAGGCCUUUGAUGCAAUAAUAGAAUCAGCUGAUCAAUCAUUAGGGAGAAUAAUAUUUGUAGAUGGCCAUGGUGGGACAGGUAAGACAUACCUUUGGAAAGCUAUCACAACAAGGCUAAGAUCAGAGGGGAAAAUCGUACUUGCAGUUGCAUCUUCUGGCGUCGCAGCACUUCUGCUUCAAGGAGGUAGAACAGCACACUCAACGUUCAAUAUUCCAAUCAAUCUGACAGAUCAAUCAACAUGCUACAUCAAACAAGGUUCAGAUGUGGCGGAUUUAUUAAUGAGGACGUCACUAAUACUGUGGGAUGAAGCUCCAAUGGCAAACAAACAAUGCUUUGAGGCACUUGACAAGAGCCUAAGGGACGUGCUGAGGUUCACAAAUGAGAAUAGUUGUGCCAAGCCCUUUGGCGGCAUGACGGUUGUUCUUGGAGGGGACUUCCGACAAAUCCUCCCUGUUGUGCCAAAAGGAGGACGGGAGCACAUUAUAGAUGCAUCAAUCAAAUGUUCAUACCUCUGGCAAUAUUUUGAGGUAUUUAAUCUGACAAAAAAUAUGCGGCUCAAAUCUCUAUCCAGUGAUCAAGCAGAGCAGCAGAAGACUGCGGAAUUUGCGGAGUGGAUACUACAGAUUGGCAAUGGAGACACAUGUUUACUAGAUAAAAAGGACUAUCUAAGUAUCCCCAGUGACCUGCUGCUAGAAAAUAGAGAUGACCCAAAAACAAAAAUCAUCCAAAGUACCUAUCCUGACCUGCAAGACAAUCUCUGCAAACACGAGUUCCUGAAAGAAAGGGCGAUACUGUGUCCAUUGAACGAGACAGUCAAUGAGAUCAAUGAGUAUAUUAUGAGUCAAAUCCAAGGUGACAAGGUGACGUACCUGAGCCAUGACAGUGUGAGCACAUCGAUGAAUUACAGCCAUGAAAUGGAAUUGUUGUAUACUACAGAGUUUCUAAACAAGUUAAAGCACCCGGGAUGUCCAAAUCACCUACUUGAGCUCAAAGUUGGUCUGCCAGUGAUGCUUCUCCGCAACAUCAAUCAAAGUGCAGGGCUAUGCAACGGUACUAGAAUGGUAAUCACAAAACUUGGAGAAAGAGUCAUCGAAACGCAGAUCAUAACUGGAGCACACGUCGGUACUAAGGUGUGCAUCCCUCAGAUCAUCAUGUUGCCAUUCGAGCCUAAAUGGCCGUUUGUUCUAAAAAGAAAGCAAUAUCCUCUCUCCGUGUGCUUCGCGAUGACAAUCCACAAGAGCCAGGGACAGUCUUUGAACAAGGUCGGCCUCUACUUGCCCAGGCAAGUUUUUGCUCAUGGGCAACUCUAUGUGGCAGUCUCCAGAGUAACAAACAGGCAUGGCCUGAAGAUCCUGAUCACUGACGACGAAGAACACGCAAGCAAAGGAAAGGCGAAAAACAUAGUGUACAAGGAGAUCUUCUAAAUGCCUAUCUGUAGCAGUGUGGUACUGUUCUAUGCAGACUCCAGUAAAUAAUGUUAUGUCAAAAUUGGCCGUUCUUCUGUUCCGGCCAUUAAUAAGCUAGUGUUCUAGAGCACGGUUGCAGCGCAACCGAUGCCAAGACUCUCAACCGCGGAUAUGUGCUUUGGUUAAUCUGUUGUAUUACCAUCUAUUUGCUCAAAUUUGUGUUUUCAUCUCAUCACUCAGACUGGAUUACGGGUCAACAAUUUGAGUUUGCGUCCGAACUCAUGCACGUCGAACAGUACAGUAUGGUGCAUUGAAUCAAAAAAGGGGAGGUGGUUCUAGUACCGGCCCAUUGAAGUUGAUUCGCAUGAGGGCGGAGUGGAUGGCGCGGUGAAUGUGAGUCACAACCCUGGCAGCGGUGACGAGUUCCGGCGGACUGCAUCGAGUCAAUGGCGGAGCCAGGAAUGAAGAGAUGCCGGGCCAGAAACAAAUAAAUUCAGUAACAUGGGAAAAUGUGGGCACUUAUAGCUACUCAAAAACACAUCAUGGCAUUCCUUAGUUCUACAACAUGAAAUAAGAUUGCCAAAAAAACGAAUCAAUUUGAGUACAUACACUGAUCAAAUCCAUCAACAUCAAUUAUUUUCAAUUCCAUUUCACUAGUUCAAUACAAUGUUCAAAUGCACAGGAAAGACAGGGGCUAAUCAAAUGCAUCAAUGUGGCAGAAAAAUUAACCAAUCGUGGGCGCAGCAGAGAGGCAGCAGCACAACGGCACGGCGAGUCGGCGACAGGCGACAGCCACAGCACACAAGUACACAACAGCACAGCGGCUACUCCGGGGCUCUGCCGCUCUGCGCUGCGGCUGUGCAGCACGGCGAGCCGGCCGCUGGCCGGGGCGGAGCCUUGAAAGGCAACUGGGCUCGGCAGUAGGGGGUCGGGGCGGAGCAGCCAGUCAGCAGGCGCAGGAGGGCGGGGGCCGCGGGGGAAGGCCGGGAGGGACGGAGGCCGGAGGGUGGGUGACGGCGGCGCCGGCGCCAGCGUGUGCUCUGGACACAGCGUGCAGCAUGCGUGUGGUUCGGGCCUUUUUUGCUUGGGAUGGGCUGUGCUGGGCUCAAAUCAAACUGCUGGACCAGCAGCAAAUUUAGAGGCUGGAAAUAACCCCACGCCCCGGGCCUGGGCGAGCCCUCGAACUCACCAGUUGAGAAAUACUCGUUGCAAAGAUCACUCCAACUCUCAUGUUGCGACAAGUGGCGCGCGUCACUUGUCGCAAUCAAUCUGGGAAUUUUUCCUUUUUUCUAGAUUCAUUUAUUCAAAACGUUUUUAUCUCUUAAACCGUGCGUCCAAAUCUCAAACCGUUUUCACCGUUGGAUUCCUCGCGUCGAAAUCUUUAAAACUAGAUCCCACGUUGAUAGGUUUUGACGGAUUUUUUUUAAAAAAACCGGCCAAAUAACGAAACGGGAGCACGGAUUUUUUCUCCUUUCCGAAAGAGGCACGCCUGUGCCUCUCACGAAAUUACAACCGUGCCUCUCGCGGAAGCAAAACCGUGACUCUCGCAGAAGGGAAAAAAAAGAAAACGCGUUUUUUUCUGUUUCCGAGGAGGUAUGGCCGUGGCUCUCGCGAAAGCACACCCGUGCCUCUCGCGGAAGCAAAACCGUCACUCUCGCGAAAGGAAAAAAAUAGAAAACGCGUUUUUUUCAUUUCCGAGAGGCACGGCCGUGACUCUCGCGAAAGCACAACCGUGCCUCUCACGGAAGCAAAACCGUGACUCUCGCGAAAGGAAAAAAGAUAAAAAAUGCGGGAUUUUUCGUUUCCGAGAGGCACGGCCGUGACUCUCGCGAAAGCACAAGCGUGCCUCUCGCGGAAGCAAAACCGUGAUUCUCGCGAAAGGAAAACAAACAGAAAACGCAUUUUUUUUCGUUUCCGAGAGGCACGGCCGUGACUCUCGCGAAAGCAAAACCGUGCCUCUCGCAAAAGCAAAACCGUGACUCUCGUGAAAAGAAAAAAAAAAGAGUUUUUCGCGCAAAAAAAUUAAAAAAAAUUGGUCGAAAAGCUAAGGAAGACCAGUGGAAAACCAAAACGUCCAAAAAACCGAAAAAAAUCGUUUAAAUAGACGAAAACGCGUGCAGAAAAAUAAAAAAACAAAAUCCGGGGGGAGCGCCUAGAGCGCGACACGUGGCAAAUGGCUGAGAGCGCGCCAAGUGGCGCUGAUCGUCGCGAGGCUCCCGAGGAGCGCAAGUUAACUAGUGGCUCCCUAUUUGACGCGCGCGUGAGUCGAACGGCUGCGCUUCCGCUGAAGCGGGCGAACGAGCACCGCGAAAUGGGCCGGCCCACUGCGAGCGUUAAUAGCACUGCGUGGCAAAACGGUUUUGGGAACCUUUUGAAAGGUUCCCUCAACCGGUUUUUUGCUUUUUUUAUCUUUUGCCAGUUUUUUGGUUUUCCUUGUUUCCUUUUUUAUUUUUGUACUUUUUCAUCUUUUGUUUCUGUUCCUAUUUCUUUCUUUCCCCCCUUUAUUCUACCUUUUUCAUUUAUUAACCUUUGUUUUCAAAAAAAUAGAAAUUCCAAUUUCUGUUCAUCAUUUCAUAAAUUGUUCACAGUUAUCAAAUUUUGUUCACUUUUUUUAAAUUUGUUCAAAAUGCAAAAAUUGUUCAGCGUAUAUCACAAAAAUUAUUCAAUGUGUAUUUAGAUAUUGUUCAACGUAUAUAAAAAUGUUCAUGUGUUAAUUGUUCAGCCUAUAUAAAAAUGUAUUCAAUGUGUAUUAAAAUAUUUUCAUCGUAUAUCAAAUCAAAUGUAUAUUUAAUAAAAAUAUUAAAUGGUUAAUAUUUCGAUUUUUCUUUUAUCUACCUUUUUUAGUGCCUUUUUUAUCUACCUCUAUAUCUAGUUCUUAAAUACGCGCGGGGCCUACAAGCAACUGAAACUAGCUAGCUCAAGUGGUAAGGAACAAUUUGUUUGUGUCAUGCGUUGUUGAGUUCGGUUCCCGAAGAGUGCGUCACGUCAGAUUGACGCUCGCGAACGUCAGCUAGGGACUCCUGCCCCAAAUAAGAAAAAAAAAGUAGCUAUUUCAUCAAAUCCCGAUUGUGUGGGUGUGAAGUGGAAAAAUCCCGUUCUGGCUGGCAGCGGGGGCCUGGGGAACUCCUAUUUGGCGCAGCAUCCGACGGGAGGCCGACGCCCGCGCACACCCCACGCUGCACCCGCGCGCCCAUUUUGCCGGCCCAGGAGCGGCUCAAGACGCCACCUAUUUUCUUUUUUUGUUUUUCGUUUUUGUUUUUUAUUCCAUUUUUUCUUGUACAAAUAAUUUGAGAUUUCAAAUAAGUUCCAAAAUUCAAACAAAUUGAAUUUCGAACAAGUUUGUGGAGCCAAAAAAAAUUCCUUGAAUUCGAAUAAUGUUCACGAAUUUGAAAAAAAUAAUCAUGAUUUCGAAAAAUGUGCAUGAAUUUUAAUAUUAAUAAAAACAAAUAUCAGAUGAACAAAUUUUGAAUUUGAUGAAUAUUUUUCUAAUUUGAGUAUAAAUUCUCAAUUCAAGAACAUUUUUUUGAAAAUUGGAUGGACUUUUAGAAAAAUUGGAUGAACAUUUUUUAAAUUAUGGUGAAUUGUUUUCAUUUCACAAACAUUUUUUGAAUUAGAUAACAUUUUUUUUUGAAAUUGAUGAAAAAAUUAUCAAUUCAAGAACAUUUCUUUGAAAUCGGAUGAACUUGUUAAAAAAUGGAUGAACAUGUUUUGAAUUUAAUGAAAAUUUUCUAAAUUAUGGUGAACAAAUUUUGAAUACGACGAACAAAUUUUGAAUUUCAUCAUGAACAUUUUUUGAAUUAGAUGAACAUAUUUUUAUAUCAAUGGACAAAAAAAUAUUCAUGAUUUGAGUAAAAGUUCAUGAAAAUGAGAAAAACAAAAACAAAGAAGAAAAAGGAAAAGAUAAUAGUAAUCGAAAACAAAGUAAAGAAAAAUGAUAAACAAAAAGGAAAGCAAAAAAGGAAAAAAUGAAAAAGAAAAUGAAAAAGGAGAGAAAUACAGAGAGAAAAAACCGACCAAACAUGAUCAACCUGGGCAAGCCCACUUAUGCGCAGCGGGGAGGGGGCGGGGGGCACGCGUGUGGUCGCUUCGCGGCGACCUAAGCGCCGAAUAGGAGCUGCCCGGGGCCUGGACCCUGGGUGACCGGGGGCCAGCUCUGCCCCAACGACUGAGACGGUGACGCUGACCGCGGUGGGGAAGGAUAUGGCUGAGAGCAACUAACUGGAGGUUCCGAGAGUUGCUAAAAAAAUAGGAGGUUCCUAGACUAUAAAAACCUGACUCGAGGUUAUCCCUUGCGGGGACCCAAGGGUCACUUUUGGUGUUCUUAGAGCACGCUGAAAGGAUCGAUAUAGUUGACUAGAGGGAGGGUGAAUAGGCAACUAACAAUUUUUAGCUUUUCUUUACCAAUUUAAACUUUGCAUCAAAGUAGGUUGUCUAGAUAUGCAACUAGGUGAGCAACCUAUAUGAUGCAACAACAAUAAGCACACAUGCAAGCAAGAGAUAAAGCACAAAUAAGCUUGCACAAGUAAAGGCACGAGAUAACCAAGAGUGGAGCCGGUGAAGACGAGGAUGUGUUACCGAAGUUCCUUCCCUUUGAGAGGAAGUACGUCUCCGUUGGAGCGGUGUGGAGGCACAAUGCUCCCCAAGAAGCCACUAGGGCCACCGUAUUCUCCUCACGCCCUCACACAAUGCGAGAUGCCGUGAUUCCACUAUUGGUGCCCUUGGAGGCGGCGACCGAACCUUUACAAACAAGGUUGGGGCAAUCUCCACAACUUAAUUAGAGGCUCCCAACGAUACCACGAAGCUUCACCACAAUGGACUAUGGCUCCGCGGUGACCUCAACCAUCUAGGGUGCUCAAACACCCAAGAGUAACAAGAUCCACAAGGGAUUAGUGGGGGGAUUCAAAUUUCUCUUGGUGGAAGUGUAGAUCGGGACCUCCUCAACCAAUCCCUAGAGAAUCAACAAGUUUGAUUGGCUAGGGAAGGAGAUCGGGCGAAAAUGGAGCGUGGAGCAACAAUGGAGCUUGGAGGUGGAAGAGGUAGUCAACUAGAGGAGGAAGACACCCCUUAUAUAGUGGAAGAACAAAUCCAACCGUUAUCCACCAACUCAGCCUGCGCAGCACGGUACUACCGCACCUGAGGCACGGUACUACCGCAGGGCCCCGCGGUACUACCGCCCACGCAGCAGAGACCAGAACAGCAAAAAAUGCACUAAAGCAGAGGGCGGUAGUACUGCUGGCGCGGUACUACCGCUCCCCCUUGCGGUACUACCGCAAGGCAGGUGCUGCCAGGGAUGGGAAGGCACGGAUAUAAAAAUUACAUCCGUGGCUACUUCCGCAGAGUUGGAGUCGAUGCAAAAACCCGACGCGGUAGCACCGUAAGCUAGCAGCGGUACUACCGCGCGAGGCGCGGAUGUAAAAAAUUACAUCCGCCCCUUACUGCCGCGUACUUGCGGAACUAAGUUAGAGACCACGGUACUACCGCUUACUAGAAGCGGUACUACCGUGGGUCCUUGCGGUACUACCGCACCAGCGGGCGGUACUACCGCGAGGUCCUGCGGUACUACCGCUCUAAGGAGCAGUACUACCGCAUGCCCUAGUUCGGCAAGCAAGAGCAAUAUUUGCAUAGACAAGGAAAACAAAGGAUGCUCCAAAGGCUAGAGGAAAGGAGGUGCAAAGGAAGAUGUGUACGUGAUGAAUCCACCCAACCUUACGCGGACCCCCUCUUAAUAGUACGACUUCCCUACGACUCAAUACCACCGAAAAGAAACGAAGAGAAACGCCGUCUUCUAUAGCCUUCGAGGGGAACCAAAUCGUCUUGUGCCUAGUCAAUAUAUCUGAAAUAUUCGAUGCACAUGAUUAGUCCGCAAAAGCAUUGUCAUCAAUCACCAAAACCAACUAAGGGAUAAAAAUGCCCUUACAAUCUCCCCCUUUUUGGUGGAUUGAUGACAACACGGGAUUUGCACGAGGUUAUAACGCAAAGAGCAAGGGCAAACCCCCAAGUCUCUAAAAUAUAGACGGGCUCCCCCUAGAUGUGUGCUAUCUCGAUGAGUGCUUUGGACUGCAUGGCACACAUACUAGGAUCAACACUCCCCCUAUAUUUUAUAGACAUGGCAAAUCUUGCAAUAAGGCUAAAGCUAAGCAAGAUAGAUAGGAGCAUAGUGUAAUAAGCAUAAUAUAGAAUAAGCUCACUACGGUACGAUAGAGUGCAUAUGUCUUACACCAUAUGAUCGAAGGUAGGUCUCAUGAGCACAAACCAAAGCAAACCAAAGCAAACGAAAUAAACGAAGUUCAACUGACCCAAACACGACACAACUCGCAAAUCCUACACUCCCUCCCCCUUUGGCAUCGAGACGCCAAAAAGGCAGAGAGGAAACCUACAGCAAUAGUGGUGGCUCAAGCGGAGUAGUCACUUGCACGCUCCCCGUCAGACUCUGCAGCUCGGACGGACUCCUUCUCAGACUCGGUCCACCGAUAACCCUGCUUGUGCAUCCAUUCUACCUCUGGGGUGAUGUUCACCUCUGACCCGCUAGAUAUGUUCUCGCCAAAGGUCCUGAAAAUCCGCUUGUCGUGGCGGCGAGUCUCCUUGGAAGCCACAUGGGUCUGGUACUGCCCCUUUGCCUGCAUACAGAACAACAUCUUCAUCUUGUUCUUCAGUCGCUUAGCCCAAGAAGGCUCAGAGGUGGGAGGGAUGUAAACCUCAGAGUUGUCCUCGUCUGCUGCCUCCUCCUCCUCCUCAUCUGCAUCCACGUCCAUGGCAGCCGCAGUAUCAGCACGAGAGGUAGUGUUGGCCCACUGAGGCUUGAUACGGAGGUUGAUGGGCUCAUGCCGGAUCCAACCAGGGGCCUCAAACUCAUCCUGAGGGUAGACCCGCUCCCAAGUGGCCGAGAUCAACUGAAACAAAUAAGGUCCAUAGAUGGGGACCUUGCGGUUGUAGACCGCAAACCGAAGCUCAUGCCACAUGAUAUGUGAGACAUCAAGUGGUAAUGUCUGAGAGUUGCGAGCAUCUUCACACAGGAGCAUCAUAUCCACCAGAUAGGCAUGCACCUUGUCCUUGUCCCCAAUGCGUGGGAAGAGAGUGUUGCGGAAGAUCUGGUGCAUGAUGUCAAGAAAGGAGUUGAGUACCCAAGAUGACUUGCCAUUGGAGAGCCUCUUCUCCACAUAGUAGGGCAUAAGCUUGUUCUUGUUGGCAGACUCGGGAUUGGCAUGAGGGCGAACACCUUGGGGUGUGGCGAGCCCCUCAUCCGGAACCCCAAGCAAAGUCAUGAAUUCCUUCCAAGUAGCAGUCAGCUGCCGACCAUUGGUCAUCCAAGUCAUGGUCCUUUCCUCAUUGGGAUGAAAAUGCACUGAGGCAAAGAACUGAGCAAGGAUCUCAGGAUCAUAGUCUUUGUGGAAUGAGAUGAUAUGCUCAAUGCCAAAUUGCUCCACUAGGUCUAAAGCCUCACCAAAGUAUUCCCAGUGCGCCUCUUUUCGCAUGUGAUGCAUGUUGAUCCACUUCACCUCCACAUAGGUGUUUUGCUUGGCCUUGAUGACAUCCAGAUAAAUGAGAUUCUGCUUCUUGGUCCAGAAUAGCUCAUUCCCUCGAAAGUUGGCAUGAGGGUUUCCAUAUGGAUUGAUCUUCCUCCGAGAGAUGAACUCAGUGUUGGGGAUUGUUGCAGAAAUUUAAAAUUUUCUACGCAUCACCAAGAUCAAUCUAUGGAGUCAUCUAGCAACGAGAGAGAGAGAGAGGAGUGCAUCUACAUACCCUUGUAGAUCGCGAGCGGAAGCGUUCAAGAGAACGGGGUUGAUGGAGUCGUACUCGUCGUGAUCCAAGUCACCGAUGAUCCUAGCGCCGAACGGACGACACCUCCGCGUUCAACACACGUACGGAGCGGAGACGUCUCCUCCUUCUUUGAUCCAGCAAGGGGGAAGGAGAAGUUGAUGGAGAUCUUGUUCGAAAUAUGCCCUAGAGGCAAUAAUAAAUUGGUUAUUAUUAUAUUUCCUUGUUCAUGAUAAUCGUUUAUUAUCCAUGCUAAAAUUGUAUUGAUAGGAAACUCAGAUACAUGUGUGGAUACAUAGACAACACCAUGUCCCUAGUAAGCCUCUAGUUGACUAGCUCGUUGAUCAAUAGAUGGUUACCGUUUCCUGACCAUGGACAUUGGAUGUCAUUGAUAACGGGAUCACAUCAUUAGGAGAAUGAUGUGAUGGACAAGACCCAAUCCUAAGCCUAGCACAAGAUCGUGUAGUUCGUUUGCUAAGAACUUUUCUAAUGUCAAGUAUCAUUUCCUUAGACCAUGAGAUUGUGCAACUCCCGGAUACCGUAGGAAUGCUUUGGGUGUACCAAACGUCACAACGUAACUGGGUGGCUAUAAAGGUGCACUACAGGUAUCUCCGAAAGUGUCUGUUGGGUUGGCACGAAUCGAGACUGGGAUUUGUCACUCCGUGUAAACGGAGAGGUAUCUCUGGACCCACUCGGUAGGACAUCAUCAUAAUAUGCACAAUGAGACCAAGGAGUUGAUCAUGAGAUGAUGUGUUACGGAACGAGUAAAGAGACUUGCCGGUAACGAGAUUGAACAAGGUAUCGGGAUACCGACGAUCGAAUCUCGGGCAAGUAACAUACCGAUUGACAAAGGGAAUUGUAUAUGGGAUUGAUUGAAUCCCCGACAUCGUGGUUCAUCCGAUGAGAUCAUCGUGGAACAUGUGGGAGCCAACAUGGGUAUCCAGAUCACGCUGUUGGUUAUUGUCCGGAGAACGUCUCGGUCAUGUCUGCAUGGUUCCCGAACCCGUAGGGUCUACACACUUAAGGUUCGAUGACGCUAGGGUUAUAGGGAAUAUAUAUACAUGGUUACCGAAUGUUGUUCGGAGUCCCGGAUGAUAUCCCGGACGUCACGAGGAGUUCCGGAGGUAAAGAUUUAUAUAUGGGAAGUCCCGUUUUGGCCACCCGAAGAGUUUCGGGCGUCACCGGUAAUGUACUGGGACCACCGGAGGGUUCCGGGGGUCCACCGGGAGGGGCCACCAGCCCCGGAGGGCCCUAUGGGCUGUAUGUGGAGAGGGACCAGCCCCUUAGUGGGCUGGGCGCCUUCCCUCCCAGGGCCCAUGCGCCUGGGGGUUUGGGGGAACCCUAAGGGGAGGCGCCCCCCUUGCCUUGGGGGGCAAGGCAACCCCCCUGGCCGCCGCCCCCUCCUCAGAUUGGAUCUGAGGGGGCCGGCCCCCCUCUCCCUUGCCCCUAUAUAUAUGUGGGGGUGGGAGGGCAGCAGCAACCUAAGUUCUGUCGCAGCCCUCCCCUCUUCCAUGUCCUCCUCCUCUCCCGCGGUGCUUGGCGAAGCCCUGCGGGAUUGCCACGCUCCUCCAUCACCACCACGCCGUCGUGCUGCUGCUGGACGGAGUCUUCCCCAACCUCUCCCUCUCUCCUUGCUGGAUCAAGGCGUGGGAUACGUCACCGGGCUGCACGUGUGUUGAACGCGGAGGCGCCGUGAUUCGGCGCUUAGAUCGGAAUCAACCGCGAUCUGAAUCGCUAUGAGUACGACUCCUUCAUCCGCGUUCUUGCAACGCUUCCGCAUCGCGAUCUACAAGGGUAUGUAGAUGCACUCCCCUUCCCCUUGUUGCUAGAUUACUCCAUAGAUUGAUCUUGGUGAUGCGUAGAAAAUUUUGAAUUUCUGCUACGUUCCCCAACAGUGGUAUCAGAGCCAGGUUUAUGCGUAGUUUCUAUGCACAAGUAGAACACAAAGUAGUUGUGGGCGUCGAUUUUGUCAAUUUACUUGCCGUUACUAGUCUUAUCUUGAUUCGGCGGCAUCGUGGGAUGAAGCGGCCCGGACCGACCUAACACGUACUCUUAUGUGAGACAGGUUCCACCGACUGACAUGCACUAGUUGCAUAAGGUGGCUAGCGGGUGUCUGUCUCUCCCACUUUAGUCGGAUCGGAUUUGAUGAAAAGGGUCCUUAUGAAGGGUAAAUAGAAAUUGGCAUAUCACGUUGUGGCUUUUGCGUAGGUAAGAAACGUUCUUGCUAGAAUCCCAUAGCACCCCACGUAAAAAUGCAACAACAACUAGAGGACGUCUAACUUGUUUUUGCAGGGUAUGCUAUGUGAUGUGAUAUGGCCAAAAGGAUGUGAUGAAUGAUAUAUGUGAUGUAUGAGAUUGAUCAUGUUCUUGUAAUAGGAAUCACGACUUGCAUGUCGAUGAGUAUGACAACCGGCAGGAGCCAUAGGAGUUGUCUUAAUUUAUUGUAUGACCUGCGUGUCAAUGAAAACGCCAUGUAAUUACUUUACUUUAUUGCUAACCGUUAGCCAUAGUAGUAGAAGUAAUAGUUGGCGAGACAAUUUCAUGAAGACACAAUGAUGGAGAUCAUGAUAAUGGAGAUCAUGGUGUCAUGCCGGUGACGAAGGUGAUCAUGCCGCGCCUCGAAGAUGGAGAUCAAAGGCGCAUGAUGAUAUUGGCCAUAUCACGUCACUUUAUGAUUUGCAUGUGAUGUUUAUCAUGUUUACAUCUUAUUUGCUUAGAACGACGGUAGCAUAAAUAAGAUGAUCCCUCACUAAAAUUUCAAGAGACGUGUUCCCCCUAACUGUGCACCGUUGUGAAGGUUCGUUGUUUCGAAGCACCACGUGAUGAUCGGGUGUGAUAGAUUCUAACGUUCGAAUACAACGGGUGUUGACGAGCCUAGCAUGUACAGACAUGGCCUCGGAACACAUGCGAAACACUUAGGUUGACUUGACGAGCCUAGCAUGUACAGACAUGGCCUCGGAACACAAGAGACCGAAAGGUCGAACAUGAGUCGUAUAGUAGAUACGAUCAACAUGGAGAUGUUCACCGAUGAUGACUAGUCCGUCUCACGUGAUGAUCGGACACGGCCUAGUUUGACUCGGAUCAUGUAUCACUUAGAUGACUAGAGGGAUGUCUAUCUGAGUGGGAGUUCAUUAAAUAAUCAGAUGAACUUAAUUAUCAUGAACAUAGUCAAAAGGUCUUUGCAAAUUAUGUCAUAGCUUACGCUUUAGUUCUACUGUUUAAGAUAUGUUCCUAGAGAAAAUAUAGUUGAAAGUUGAUAGUAGCAAUUAUGCGGACUGGGUCCGUGAACUGAGGAUUGUCCUCAUUACUGCACAGAAGGCUUACGUCCUUAAUACACCGCUCGGUGUGCUGAACCUCGAGCGUUGUCUGUAGAUGUUACGAAACAUCUGACAUACACGUUUUGAUGACUACGUGAUAGUUCAGUGCGUAAUGCUAACGGUUUAGAAUUGUGGCACCAAAGACGUUUUUGAAACGUCGCAGAACAUAUGAGAUGUUCCGAAGACUGAAAUUUGGAUUUCAGACUAGUGCCCACGUCAAGAGGUAUGAGACCUCUGACAAGUUUCUUAAGCCUGCAAACUAAGGGAGAAAAGCUCAAUCGUUGAGCAUGUGCUCAGAUUGUCUGAGUACUACAAUCACUUGAAUCGAGUGGGAGUUAAUCUUCCAGAUGAGAUAGUGAUGGUUCUCCAUAGUCACUGCCACCAAGCUAUUAGAGCUUCGUGAUGAACUAUAACAUAUCAGGGAUAGACAUGAUGAUCCUUGAGCAACUCGCGAUGUUUGACACCGCGAAAGUAGAAAUCAAAUAGGAGCAUCAAUUGUUGAUGGUUAGUAAAACCACUAGUUUCAAGAAGGGCAAGGGCAAAAGGGAUACUUCAUGAAACAGCAAAUCAUUUGCUGCUCUAGUGAAGAAUCCCAAGGUUGAACCCAAACCCGAGACUAAGUGCUUCUGUAAUGAGGGGAACGGUCACUGAAGCAAAACUACCCUAGAUACGUGGUAGAUGAGAAGGCAGGCAAGGUCGACAGAAGUAUAUUGGAUAUACAUUAUAUGAAUGUGUACUUCACUAGUACUCCUAGCAGCACCAGGGUAUUAGAUACCGGUUCGGUUGCUAAGUGUUAGUAACUCGAAAUAAAAGCUGCGGAAUAAACGGAGACUAGCUAAAGGUGAGAUGACGAUAUGUGUUGGAAGUGUUUCCAAGGUUGAUGUGAUCAAGCAUCGCAUGCUCCCUCUACCAUCGAGAUUGGUGUUAAACCUAAAUAAUUGUUAUUUGGUGUUUGCGUUGAGCAUAAACAUGAUUGGAUUAUGUUUAUCGCAAUACGGCUGUUCAUUUAAGGAGAAUAAUGGUUACUCUGUUUAUUUGAAUAAUACCUUCAAUGGUCUUGCACCUAAAAUGAAUCUCGAUUGCCGUGAUACACAUGUUCGUGCCAAAAGAUAUAAAAUAGUAAUGAUAGUACCACAUACUUGUGGCACUGCCAUUUGAGUCAUAUUGGUAUAGAACGCAUGAAGAAGCUCCAUGUAGAUGGAUCUUUGGACUCACUCGUUUUUGAAAAGAUUGAGACAUGCAAACCAUGUCUAUUGGUAUAUAUGCAUGAAGAAACUCCAUGCAGAUGGAUCGUUUGGACUCACUUGAUUUUGAAUCACUUGAGACAUGCAAAUCAUACCACAUGGGCAAGAUGGCUGAAAGGCCUCGUUUUCAGUAAGAUGGAACAAGAAAGCAACUUGUUGGAAGUAAUACAUUUUGAUGUGUGCAGUCCAAUGAGUGCUGAGGCACGCAGUGGAUAUCGUUAUGUUCUUACUUCACAGACGAUUUGAGUAGAUGCUGAGUGUAUUUACUUAAUGAAACACAAGUCUGAAUUAUUGAAAGGUUCAAGUAAUUUCAGAGUGAAGUUGAAGAUCGUCGUGACAAGUGGAUAAAAUGUCUAUGAUAUGAUCAUAGAGAUAUCUGAGUUACGAGUUUGGCACACAAUUAAGACAUUGUGGAAAGUGUUUCACAAUUAAUACCGCUUGGAACACCACAGUGUGAUGGUGUGUCCGAACAUCAUAACUGCACCCUAUUGGAUAUGGUGCAUACCAUGAUGUCUCUUAUCGAAUUACAACUAUCGUUUAUGGGUUAGGCAUUAGAGACAACCGCAUUCACUUUAAAUAGGGCACCACGCAAUUCCGUUGAGAUGACACCGUAUGAACUACGGUUUAGAGAAACCUAAGCUGUCGUUUCUUAAAAGUUUGGGGCUGCGACGCUUAUGUGAAAAGGUUUCAGGCUGAUAAGCUCGAACCCAAAGCGGAUAAAUGCAUCUUCAUAGAAUACCCAAAACAGUUGGGUAUACCUCCUAUUUCAGAUCUGGAAGCAAAAGUAAUUGCUUCUAGAAACGAGUCCUUACUCGAGGAAAAGUUUCUCUUGAAAGAAUUGAGUGGGAGGAUGGUGGAGACUUGAUAAGGUUAUUGAACCGUCACUUCAACUAGUGUGUAGCAGGGCACAGGAAGUUGUUCUUGUGGCACCUACACCAAUUGAAGUGGAAGCUUAUGAUAGUGAUCAUGAAACUUCGGAUCAAGUCACUACCAAACCUCGUAGGUCGACAAGGAUAUGUACUACUCCUGAGUGGUACGGUAAUCCUGUCUUAGAUAUCAUGUUGUUAGACAAUACUGAACCUAUGAGCUAUGGAGAAGCGAUGGUGGGCCCAUAUUCCGACAAAUGGUUAGAAGCCAUGAAAUCCGAGAUAGGAUCCAUGUAUCAGAACAAAGCAUGGACUUUGGUGAACUUGCCCGAUGAUCGGCAAGCCAUUGAGAUAAAUGGAUCUUUAAGAAGAAGACGGACAUGGACGGUAAUGUUACCGUCUAUGAAGCUCGACUUGUGGCAAAGAGUAUUUUCACAAGUUCAAGGAGUUGACUACGAUGAGAUUUUCUCAUCCGUAGCGAUGCUUAAGUCCGUCAGAAUCAUGUUAGCAUUAGCUGCAUUUAUGAAAUCUGGCAGAUGGAUGUCAAAAACAAGUUUCCUUACCAGUUUUCGUAAGGAAAGGUUGUAUGUGAUACAAUCAGAAAGGUUUUGUCGAUCGUAAGGAUGCUAAAAGGUAUGCUAGCUCCAGCGAUCCUUCCAUGGACUAGAGCAAGCAUCUCGGAGUCAGAAUAUAUGCUUUGAUGGAGUGAUCAAAGUUUUUGGGUUUAUACAAAGUUUGUUAGAAACUUGUAUUUACAAUAAAGUGAGUGGGAGCGCUACAACAUUUCUGAUAAGUAUAUGUGAAUGACAUAUUGUUGAUCCGAAAUGAUGUAAAAUUUCUGGAAAGCAUAAAGGGUUGUUUGAAAGGAGUUUUUCAAAGGAAGACCUGGAUAAAGCUGCUUACAUAUUGGGCAUCAAGAUCUAUAGAGAUAGAUCAAGACGCCUGAUGAUACUUUCAAAGAACGCACACCUUGACAUGAUUUUGAAAGAGUUCAAAAUAGAUCAGCAAAGAAGGAGUUCUUGGCUAUGUUACAAGGUGUGAGUAUUGAGUAAGACUCAAGACCUGACCACAACAGAAGAGAGAGAAAGGACGAAGGUCGUCCCCUAUGCUUUAGACGUAGGCUCUACAGUAUGCUAUGCUGUGUACCGCACAUGAAGAGUGCCUUGCCAUGAGUUGGUCAAGGGGUACAAUAGUGAUCCGGGAAUGGAUCACAUGACAGCGGUCGAACUUAUGCUUAGUAUCUAGUGGACUAAGGAAUUUUCUCGAUUAUGGAGGUGAAAAGGAGUUCGUCGUAAAGGGUUACGUCGAUGCGAACUUUGACACUAAUCCGGAUGACUCUGAGUAGUAAACCGGAUUUGUAUAGUAGAGCAGUUAUUUGAAAUGGCUCCAAGUAGCGCGUGGUAGCAUCCACAAGAUGACAUAGAUAUUCGUAAAGCACACACGGAUCUGAAAGGUUCAGACCCGUUGACUAAUAACCUCUCUCACAAGCAUAACAUGAUCAAACCAGAACUCAUUGAGUGUUAAUCACAUAGUGAUGUGAACUAGAUUGUUGACUCUAGUAAACUCUUUGGAUGUUGGUCACAUGGUGAUGUGACCUGUGAGUGUUAAUCACAUGGUGAUGUGAAAUAGAUUAUUGACUCUAGUGCAAGUGGGAGACUGUUGGAAAUAUGCCCUAGAGGCAAUAAUAAAUUGGUUAUUAUUAUAUUUCCUUGUUCAUGAUAAUCGUUUAUUAUCCAUGCUAAAAUUGUAUUGAUAGGAAACUCAGAUACAUGUGUGGAUACAUAGACAACACCAUGUCCCUAGUAAGCCUCUAGUUGACUAGCUCGUUGAUCAAUAGAUGGUUACGGUUUCCUGACCAUGGACAUUGGAUGUCGUUGAUAACGGGAUCACAUCAUUAGGAGAAUGAUGUGAUGGACAAGACCCAAUCCUAAGCCUAGCACAAGAUCGUGUAGUUCGUUUGCUAAGAGCUUUUCUAAUGUCAAGUAUCAUUUCCUUAGACCAUGAGAUUGUGCAACUCCCGGAUACCGUAGGAAUGCUUUGGGUGUACCAAACAUCACAACGUAACUGGGUGGCUAUAAAGGUGCACUACAGGUAUCUCCGAAAGUGUCUGUUGGGUUGGCACGAAUCGAGACUGGGAUUUGUCACUCCGUGUAAACGGAGAGGUAUCUCUGGGCCCACUCGGUAGGACAUCAUCAUAAUGUGCACAAUGUGACCAAGGAGUUGAUCACGGGAUGAUGUGUUACGGAACGAGUAAAGAGACUUGCCGGUAACGAGAUUGAACAAGGUAUCGGGAUACCGACGAUCGAAUCUCGGGCAAGUAACAUACCGAUUGACAAAGGGAAUUGUAUACGGGAUUGAUUGAAUCCCCGACAUCGUGGUUCAUCCGAUGAGAUCAUCGUGGAACAUGUGGGAGCCAACAUGGGUAUCCAGAUCCCGCUGUUGGUUAUUGGCCGGAGAACGUCUCGGUCAUGUCUGCAUGGUUCCCGAACCCGUAGGGUCUACACACUUAAGGUUCGAUGACGCUAGGGUUAUAGGGAAUAGAUAUACAUGGUUACCGAAUGUUGUUCGGAGUCCCGGACGUCACGAGGAGUUCCGGAAUGGUCCGGAGGUAAAGAUUUAUAUAUGGGAAGUCCCGUUUUGGCCACCGGAAGAGUUUCGGGCGUCACCGGUAAUGUACCGGGACCACCGGAGGGUUCCGGGGGUCCACCGGGAGGGGCCACCAGCCCCGGAGGGCCCUAUGGGCUGUAUGUGGAGAGGGACCAGCCCCUUAGUGGGCUGGGCGCCUUCCCUCCCAGGGCCCAUGCGCCUGGGGGUUUGGGGGAACCCUAAGGGGAGGCCCCCCCUUGCCUUGGGGGGCAAGGCAACCCCCCUGGCCGCCGCCCCCUCCUCAGAUUGGAUCUGAGGGGGGCGGCCCCCCUCUCCCUUGCCCCUAUAUAUAUGUGGGGGUGGGAGGGCAGCAGCAACCUAAGUUCUGGCGCAGCCCUCCCCCUCUUCCAUGUCCUCCUCUUCUCCCGCGGUGCUUGGCGAAGCCCUGCGGGAUUGCCACGCUCCUCCAUCACCACCACGCCGUCGUGCUGCUGCUGGACGGAGUCUUCCCCAACCUCUCCCUCUCUCCUUGCUGGAUCAAGGCGUGGGAGACGUCACCGGGCUGCACGUGUGUUGAACGCGGAGGCGCCGUGAUUCGGCGCUUAGAUCGGAAUCAACCGCGAUCUGAAUCGCUACGAGUACGACUCCUUCAUCCGCGUUCUUGCAACGCUUCCGCAUCGCGAUCUACAAGGGUAUGUAGAUGCACUCCCCUUCCCCUCGUUGCUAGAUUACUCCAUAGAUUGAUCUUGGUGAUGCGUAGAAAAUUUUGAAUUUCUGCUACGUUCCCCAACAGAUCCAGCAGCACGACGGCAUGGUGGUGGAUGCAGCGGGAUUCCAGCAGGGCUUCGCCAAGCGCUACUGGAGGAGGAAUAGGUGUCACGGGAGGGAGAGGGAGGCGCCAGGGCUUAGGGUGCGGCUGCUCUCCCUCCCCUCCACUAUAUAUAGGGGCUAGGGGGGGCGCAUGCCCCCUUUGGAGAUCCCAUCUAGAGGGGGGGGGGCGGCCCCUCGGGGGGCAACGACCCCCUUAGGGUUUCCAACCAGGGGGGCGCAACGCCCCCUAGGGUUUCCAACCCUAGGCGCCUUGGGCCCUUGGGUGGGGCGCACCAGCCCACCAGGGGCUGGUUCCCACGCCACUUCAGCCCAUGGGGCCCUCCGGGAUAGGUGGCCCCGCCCCGUGGACCCCCGGGACCCUUCCGGUGGUCCCGGUACAAUACCGGUGACCCCCGAAACUCUCCUGGUGGCCGAAACUGGACUUCCUAUAUAUAAAUCUUUACCUCCGGACCAUUCCGGAACUCCUCGUGACGUCCGGGAUCUCAUCCGGGACUCCGAACAACUUUUGGUUAACCGCAUACUAAUAUCUCUACAACUCUAGCGUCACCGAACCUUAAGUGUGUAGACCCUACGGGUUCGGGAGACACGUAGACAUGACCGAGACAACUCUCCGGUCAAUAACCAACAGCGGGAUCUGGAUACCCAUGUUGGCUCCCACAUGCUCCACGAUAAUCUCAUCGGAUGAACCACGAUGUCGAGGAUUCAAUCAAUCCCGUAUACAAUUCCCUUUGUCAAUCGGUACGUUACUUGCCCGAGAUUCGAUCGUCGGUAUCCCAAUACCUCGUUCAAUCUUGUUACCGGCAAGUCACUUUACUCGUUCCGUAAUGCAUGAUCCCGUGACUAACUACUUAGUCACAUUGAGCUCAUUAUGAUGAUGCAAUACCGAGUGGGCCCAGAGAUACCUCUCCAUCAUACGGAGUGACAAAUCCCAGUCUCGAUCCGUGCCAACCCAACAGACACGUUCGGAGAUACCUGUAGUGCACCUUUAUAGCCACCCAGUUACGUUGUGACGUUUGGUACACCCAAAGCAUUCCUACGGUAUCCGGGAGUUGCACGAUCUCAUGGUCUAAGGAGAUGAUACUUGACAUUAGAAAAGCUUUAGCAAACGAACUACACGAUCUAGUGCCAUGCUUAGGAUUGGGUCUUGUCCAUCACAUCAUUCUCCUAAUGAUGUUAUCCCGUUAUCAAUGACAUCCAAUGUCCAUGGUCAGGAAACCGUAACCAUCUAUUGAUCAACGAGCUAGUCAACUAGAGGCUCACUAGGGACAUGUUAUGGUCUAUGUGUUCACACAUGUAUUACGAUUUCCGGAUAACACAAUUAUAGCAUGAACAAUAGAUAAUUAUCAUGAACAAGGAAAUAUAAUAAUAACCAUUUUAUUAUUGCCUCUAGGGCAUAUUUCCAACAGUCUCCCACUUGCACUAGAGUCAAUAAUCUAGUUACAUUGUGAUGAAUCGUACACCCAUAGAGUUCUGGUGUUGAUCAUGUUUCGCCCGUGGAAGAGGUUUAGUCAACGGAUCUGCGACAUUCAAAUCCGUAUGCACUUUACAAAUAUCUAUGUCUCCAUUUUGAACAUUUUCACAAAUGGAGUUGAAGCGAUGCUUGAUGUGCCUGGUCUUCUUGUGAAACCUGGGCUCUUUGGCAAGGGCAAUAGCUCCAGUGUUGUCACAGAAGAGAGUCAUCGGCCCCGAUGCAUUGGGAAUAACUCCUAGGUCGGCAAUGAACUCCUUCAUCCAGAUUGCUUCAUGUGCUGCCUCCGAGGCUGCCAUGUACUCCGCUUCACAUGUAGAUCCCGCCACGACGCUUUGCUUGCAACUGCACCAGCUGACUGCCCCACCAUUCAAAAUAUACACGUAUCCGGUUUGUGACUUAGAGUCAUCCAGAUCUGUGUCGAAGCUAGCAUCGACAUAACCCUUUACGACGAGCUCUUCGUCACCUCCAUAAACGAGAAACAUAUCCUUAGUCCUUUUCAGGUACUUCAGGAUGUUCUUGACCGCUGUCCAGUGUUCCAUGCCGGGAUUACUUUGGUACCUUCCUACCAAACUUACGGCAAGGUUUACAUCAGGUCUGGUACACAGCAUGGCAUACAUAAUAGACCCUAUGGCCGAGGCAUAGGGGAUGACACUCAUCUUUUCUCUAUCUUCUGUCAUGGUCGGGCAUUGAGCCGUGCUCAAUUUCACGCCUUGCAAUACAGGCAAGAACCCCUUCUUGGACUGAUCCAUAUUGAACUUCUUCAAUAUCUUGUCAAGGUAUGUGCUUUGUGAAAGACCUAUGAGGCGUCUCGAUCUAUUUCUAUAGAUCUUGAUGCCUAAUAUGUAAGCAGCUUCUCCAAGGUCCUUCAUUGAAAAACACUUAUUCAAGUAGGCAUUUAUGUUUUCCAAGAAUUCUAUAUCAUUUCCCAUCAAUAGUAUGUCAUCCACAUAUAAUAUGAGAAAUGCUACAGAGCUCCCACUCACUUUCUUGUAAACACAGGCUUCUCCAUAAGUCUGUGUAAACCCAAACGCUUUGAUCAUCUCAUCAAAGCGAAUGUUCCAACUCCGAGAUGCCUGCACCAGCCCAUAGAUUGAGCGUUGGAGCUUGCAUACCUUGUCAGCAUUCUUAGGAUCGACAAAACCUUCCGGCUGCAUCAUAUAGAAUUCUUCCUUAAGGAAGCCGUUAAGGAAUGCUGUUUUGACGUCCCUUUGCCAUAUUUCAUAAUCGUACAAUGCGGCAAUUGCUAACAUGAUUCAGACGGACUUCAGCUUCGCUACGGGUGAGAAGGUCUCAUCGUAGUCAACUCCUUGAACUUGUCGAUAACCCUUAGCGACAAGUCUAGCUUUAUAGAUGGUAACAUUUCCAUCCGCGUCCGUCUUCUUCUUAAAGAUCCAUUUAUUUUCUAUCGCUCGCCGAUCAUCGGGCAAGUCUGUUAAAGUCCAUACUUUGUUUUCAUACAUGGAUCCUAUCUCGGAUUGCAUGGCUUCAAGCCAUUUGUUGGAAUCUGGGCUCGCCAUUGCUUCUUCAUAGUCUGAAGGUUCACCGUUGUCCAACAACAUGAUUUCCAGGACAGGGUUGCCGUACCACUCUGGUGCGGAACGUGUCCUUGUGGACCUACGAAGUUCAGUGGUAACUUGAUCAUGAUCGUCAUCAUUAACUUCCUCUCUAGUCGGUGCAGGCACCACAGAAACAUUUUCUUGUGCUGCGCUACUUUCUGGUUCGAGAGGGGUCAUCUCAUCAAGUUCCACUUUCCUCCCACUUACUUCUUUCGAGAGAAACUCUUUCUCCAGAAAGGACCCAUUCUUGGCAACGAAGAUCUUGCCUUCGGAUCUGAGGUAGAAGGUAUACCCAAUGGUUUCCUUAGGGUAUCCUAUUGUAACGCCCACGAUGCGGCUAUAUCUCCCACGUGUCGAGGCACGACUCAGAGGCAUAACCGCAUUGUAGGUAUUGUCGCAAGAAGGGUCAUCUUCACACAAUCCCAUGUAAUGAACAAGAAUGGGAUAACGAGAGUUGGCUUACAAUCGCCACUUCACACAACACAUAAAUAAAUUCAUACAUCAUCCAAAAUCCACACAUAGACCGACUACGGUCAAAUCCAAAAGAAAAUAAGAUAACCCCAAAUGCUAGAUCCCCGAUCGUCCCAACUGGGCUCCACUACUGAUCAUCAGGAAACGAAACAUAGUAACGACCACGUUCCUCGUCGAACUCCCACUUGAGCUCGGUUGCGUCAUCUGCACUGGUAUCAUCAGCACCUGCAACUGUUUUGGUAGAAUCUGUGAGUCACCUGCAACUGUUUUGGUAGAAUCUGUGAGUCAUGACUCACAGAUUCUACCAAAACAGUUGCAGGUGCCGAUGAUACCAGUGCAGAUGACGCAACCAAUCACAGAUUCUACCAAAACAGUUGCAGGUGCCGAUGAUAUCAGUGCAGAUGACACAACCGAGCUCAANNNNNNNNNNNNNNNNNNNNNNNNNNNNNNNNNNNNNNNNNNNNNNNNNNNNNNNNNNNNNNNNNNNNNNNNNNNNNNNNNNNNNNNNNNNNNNNNNNNNNNNNNNNNNNNNNNNNNNNNNNNNNNNNNNNNNNNNNNNNNNNNNNNNNNNNNNNNNNNNNNNNNNNNNNNNNNNNNNNNNNNNNNNNNNNNNNNNNNNNNNNNNNNNNNNNNNNNNNNNNNNNNNNNNNNNNNNNNNNNNNNNNNNNNNNNNNNNNNNNNNNNNNNNNNNNNNNNNNNNNNNNNNNNNNNNNNNNNNNNNNNNNNNNNNNNNNNNNNNNNNNNNNNNNNNNNNNNNNNNNNNNNNNNNNNNNNNNNNNNNNNNNNNNNNNNNNNNNNNNNNNNNNNNNNNNNNNNNNNNNNNNNNNNNNNNNNNNNNNNNNNNNNNNNNNNNNNNNNNNNNNNNNNNNNNNNNNNNNNNNNNNNNNNNNNNAGUUGGGACGAUCGGGGAUCUAGCAUUUGGGGUUAUCUUAUUUUCUUUUGGAUUUGACCGUGACUCACAGAUUCUACCAAAACAGUUGCAGGUGCCGAUGAUACCAGUGUAGAUGACGCAACCGAGCUCAAGUGGGAGUUCGACGAGGAACGUGGUCGUUACUAUGUUUCGUUUCCUGAUGAUCAGUAGUGGAGCCCAGUUGGGACGAUCGGGGAUCUAGCAUUUGGGGUUAUCUUAUUUUCUUUUGGAUUUGACCGUAGUCAGUCUAUGUGUGGAUUUUGGAUGAUGUAUGAAUUUAUUUAUGUAUUGUGUGAAGUGGCGAUUGUAAGCCAACUCUCGUUAUCCCAUUCUUGUUCAUUACAUGGGAUAGUGUGAAGAUGACCCUUCUUGCGACAAUACCUACAAUGCGGUUAUGCCUCUAAGUCGUGCCUCGACACGUGGGAGAUAUAGCCGCAUCAUGGGCGUUACACCUAUGAAGACGCAUUUUUCCGACUUGGGUUCGAGCUUUUCAGGUUGAAGUUUCUUGACAUAAGCAUCGCAUCCCCAAACUUUAAGAAACGACAGCUUAGGUUUCUUUCCAAACCAUAAUUCAUACGGUGUCGUCUCAACGGAUUUCGACGGAGCCCUAUUUAAAGUGAAUGCGGCAGUCUCUAAAGCAUAACCCCAGAAUGAUAGCGGUAGAUCGGUAAGAGACAUCAUAGAUCGCACCAUAUCCAAUAGAGUGCGAUUACGACGUCCGGACACACCAUUACGCUGAGGUGUUCCAGGCGGCGUGAGUUGUGAAACAAUUCCACAUUUCCUUAAGUGUGUGCCAAAUUCGUGACUCAAAUAUUCCCCUCCACGAUCUGAUCGUAAGAACUUUAUUUUCCUGUCACGUUGAUUCUCAACCUCACUCUAAAAUUCCUUGAACUUUUCAAAGGUCUCAGACUUUUGUUUCAUUAAGUAGACAUACCCAUAUCUACUCAAGUCAUCAGUGAGGGUGAGAACAUAACGAUAGCCACCGCGAGCCUCAACGCUCAUUGGACCGCACACAUCAGUAUGUAUGAUUUCCAAUAAGUUGGUUGCUCGCUCCAUUGUUCCGGAGAACGGAGUCUUGGUCAUUUUUUCCCAUGAGGCAUGGUUCGCACGUGUCAAAUGAUUCAUAAUCAAGAGACUCCAAAAGUCCAACUGCAUGGAGUUUCUUCAUGCGUUUGACACCAAUGUGACCAAGGCGGCAGUGCCACAAGUAUGUGGGACUAUCAUUAUCAACCUUACAUUUCUUGGCAUUCACACUAUGAAUAUGUGUAACAUUACGUUCGAGAUUCAUUAAGAAUAAACCAUUGACCAGCGGGGCAUGACCAUAAAACAUAUCUCUCAUAUAAAUAGAACAACCAUUAUUCUCUGAUUUAAAUGAGUAGCCAUCUCGCAUCAAACGAGAUCCAGAUACAAUGUUCAUGCUCAAAGCUGGCACUAAAUAACAAUUAUUGAGGUUUAAAACUAAUCCCGUAGGUAAAUGUAGAGGUAGCGUGCCGACGGCGAUCACAUCGACCUUGGAACCAUUCCCGACCUGCAUCGUCACCUCGUCCUUCGCCAGUCUCCGCUUAUUCCGCAGCUCCUGCUUUGAGUUACAAAUAUGAGCAACCGCACCGGUAUCAAAUACCCAGGAGCUACUACGAGCGCUGGUUAGGUACACAUCAAUAACAUGUAUAUCACAUAUACCUUUGGUAUUGCCGGCCUUCUUAUCCGCUAAGUACUUGGGGCAGUUCCACUUCCAGUGACCGUUUCCCUUGCAAUAAAAGCACUCAGUCUUAGGCUUGGGUCCAUUCUUUGUCUUCUUCCCGGCAGCUUGCUUACCGGGCGCGGCAACUCCCUUGCCGUCUUUCUUGAAGUUCUUCUUACCCUUGUCUUUCUUGAACUUAGUGGUUUUAUUCACCAUCAACACUUGAUGUUCCUUUUUGAUCUCCACCUCCGCUGAUUUCAGCAUUGAAUAUACCUCAGGAAUGGUCUUUUCCAUCCCCUGCAUAUUGAAAUUCAUCACAAAGCUCUUGUAGCUAGGUGGAAGCGACUGAAGGAUUCUGUCAAUGACCGCGUCAUCCGGGAGAUUAACUCCCAGCUAAGACAAGCGGUUGUGCAACCCAGACAUUUUGAGUAUGUGUUCGCUGACGGAACUAUUCUCCUCCAUCUUACAACUAUAGAACUUGUCGGAUACUUCAUAUCUCUCGACCCGGGCAUGAGCUUGGAAAACCAUUUUCAGCUCUUGGAACAUCUCAUAUGCUCCGUGCUGCUCGAAACGCUUUUGGAGCCCCGGUUCUAAGCUGUAAAGCAUGCCGCACUGAACCAGGGAGUAAUCAUCAACACGUGUUUGCCAGGCGUUCAUAACGUCUUGGUUUGCUGGGACGGGUGCUUCACCUAGCAGUGCUUCAAGGACAUAUGCUUUCUUGGCAGCUAUGAGGAUGAUCCUCAAGUUCCGGACCCAGUCCGUAUAGUUGCUACCAUCGUCUUUCAGCUUGGUUUUCUCUAGGAACACGUUGAAGUUGAGGUUGACAUUAACGUGGGCCAUUUGAUCUACAAUACAUAUUGUAAAGAUUUUAGACUAAGUUCAUGAUAAUUAAGUUCAUCUAAUCAAAUUAUUAAUGAACUCCCACUCAGACAGACAUCCCUCUAGUCAUCUAAGUGAUACAUGAUCCGAGUCAACUAGGCCGUGUCCGAUCAUCACGUGAGACGGACUAGUCAUCAUCGGUGAACAUCUUCAUGUUGAUCGUAUCAGCUAUACGACUCAUGUUCGACCUUUCGGUCUCUUGUGUUCCGAGGCCAUGUCUGUACAUGCUAGGCUUGUCAAGUCAACCUAAGUGUAUUGCGUGUGUAAAUCUGGCUUACACCCGUUGUAUGCGAACGUUAGAACCUAUCACACCCGAUCAUCACGUGGUGCUUCGGAACAACGAACCUUCGCAACGGUGCACAGUUAGGGGGAACACUUCCUUGAAAUUUUAGCGAGGGAUCAUCUUAUUUAUGCUACCGUCGUUCUAAGCAAAUAAGAUGUAAAACAUGAUAAACAUCACAUGCAAUCAAAUAGUGACAUGAUAUGGCCAAUAUCAUUUUGCUCCUUUUGAUCUCCAUCUUCGGGGCGCCAUGUUCAUCAUUGUCACCGGCAUGACACCAUGAUCUCCAUCAUCGUGUCUUCGUGAAGUUGUCUCGCCAACUAUUACUUCUACUACUAUGGCUAACGGUUAGCAAUAAAGUAAAGUAAUUACAUGACGUCUUAGUUGACACGCAGGUCAUAAAUAAAUUAAGACAACUCCUAUGGCUCUUGCCGGUUGUCAUACUCAUCGACAUGCAAGUUGUGAUUCCUAUUACAAGAACAUGAUCAAUCUCAUACAUCACAUAUAUCAUUCAUCACAUUCUUCUGGCCAUAUCACAUCACAUGACACAUGCCGCAAAAACAAGUUAGACGUCCUCUAAUUGUUGUUGCAAAUUUUUACGUGGCUGCUAUAGGUUUCUAGCAAGAACGUUUCUUACCUACGCCAAAGCCACAACGUGAUAUGCCAAUUUCUAUUUACCCUUCAUAAGGACCCUUUUCAUCGAAUCCGAUCCGACUAAAGUGGGAGAGACAGACACCCGCUAGCCACCUUAUGCAACUAGUGCAUGUCAGUCGGUGGAACCUGUCUCACGUAAGCGUACGUGUAAGGUCGGUCCGGGCCGCUUCAUCCCACGAUGCCGCCGAAUCAAGAUAAGACUAGUAACGGCAAGUAAAUUGACAAAAUCGACGCCCACAACAACUUGUGUUCUACUCGUGCAUAGAAACUACGCAUAGACCUAGCUCAUGAUGCCACUGUUGGGGAUCGUUGUAGAAAUUUAAAAUUUUCUAAGCAUCACCAAGAUCAAUCUAUGGAGUCAUCUAGCAACAAGAGAGAGAGGAGUGUUGGGAUCGAUGCAGAAAUUUAAAAUUUUCUACGCAUCACCAAGAUCAAUCUAUGGAGUAAUCUAGCACCGAGGGGAAGGGGAGUGCAUCUACAUACCAUUGUAGAUCGCUUUACUCGUUCCGUAACACAUCAUCCCGUGAUCAACUCCUUGGUCACAUUGUGCACAUUAUGAUGAUGUCCUACCGAGUGGGCCCAGAGAUACCUCUCCGUUUACACGGAGUGACAAAUCCCAGUCUCGAUUCGUGCCAACCCAACAGACACUUUUGGAGAUACCUGUAGUGCACCUUUAUAGCCACCCAGUUACGUUGUGACGUUUGGUACACCCAAAGCAUUCCUACGGUAUCCGGGAGUUGCACAAUCUCAUGGUCUAAGGAAAUGAUACUUGACAUUAGAAAAGCUUUAGCAAACGAACUACACGAUCUUGUGCCAGGCUUAGGAUUGGGUCUUGUCCAUCACAUCAUUCUCCUAAUGAUGUGAUCCCGUUAUCAACGACAUCCAAUGUCCAUGGUCAGGAAACCGUAACCAUCUAUUGAUCAACGAGCUAGUCAACUAGAGGCUUACUAGGGACAUGGUGUUGUCUAUGUAUCCACACAGGUAUCUGAGUUUCCUAUCAAUACAAUUCUAGCAUGGAUAAUAAACGAUUAUCAUGAACAAGGAAAUAUAAUAAUAACCAAUUUAUUAUUGCCUCUAGGGCAUAUUUCUAACAGUCUCCCACUUGUACUAGAGUCAAUAAUCUAGUUCACAUCGCCAUGUGAUUAACACUCACAGGUCACAUCACCAUGUGACUAACAUCCAAAGAGUUUACUAGAGUCAAUAAUCUAGUUCACAUCACUAUGUGAUUAACACUCAAUGAGUUCUGGGUUUGAUCAUGUUAUGCUUGUGAGAGAGGUUAUAGUCAACGGGUCUGCAACAAUCAGAUCCGCAUGUACUUCGCAAAACUUUAUGUCAUAUCAUAGAUGCUGCUACCACGUUCCACUUGGAGCUAUUCCAAAUGGUUGCUCCAUUAUACAUAUCCGGUUUUUCUACUCAUAGUCAUCCGGAUAGGUGUUAAAGCUUGCAUCGACGUAACUCUUAACGUCGAACUCUUUAUCACCUCCAUAACCGAGAAAUAUUUCCUUAUUCCUCUAAGGACAAUUUUGACAACUGUCCAGUGAUCCACUCCUGGAUCACCUUUGUACCCUCUUGCCAGACAUGUGGCAAGGCACAAAUCAGGUGCGGUACUCAGCAUGGCAUACCGUAUAGAGCCUAUGACAAAAGCAUAGGGGACGACCUUCGUCCUUCCUCUUUCUUCUGCCGUGAUCAAGCUUUGAGUCUUACUCAACUUCACACCUUACAACUCAGGUAAGAACUCCUUCUUUGACUGGUCUAUUUUGAACUCCUUCAAAAUCAUGUCAAAGGUGUGUGUUCUUUUGAAAGUAUCAUCGGGCGUCUUGAUCUAUCUCUAUAGAUCUUGAUGCCCAAUAUGUAAGCAGCUUUAUCCAGGUCUUCCUUUGAAAAUCACUUUUCAAACACCCGUUUAUGCUUUCCAGAAAUUCUACAUCAUUUCGGAUCAACAAUAUGUCAUCCACAUAUACUUAUCAGAAAUGUUGUAGUGCUCCCACUCACUUUCUUGUAAAUACAAGUUUCUAGCAAACAUUGUAUAAACCUAAAAACUUUGAUCAAUGCAUAUAUUCCGACUCCGAGAUGCUUGCUCUAAUCCAUAGAAGGAUCGCUGGAGCCAGCAUACCUUUUAGCAUCCUUAGGAUCGACAAAACCUUUGAUUGUAUCACAUACAACCUUUUCUUACGAAAACUGGUAAGAAAACUUGUUUUGACAUCCAUCUGUCAGAUUUCAUAAUCGAAAAAUACAGCUAAUGCUAACAUGAAUCCGACGGACUUAAGCAUCGCUACGGGUGAGAAAAUCUCAUCGUAGUCAACUCCUUGAACUUGUGAAAAACUCUUUGCCACAAGUCGAGCUUCUGUCACACCCCUAGCUUCUCGUAUUGCACUAGGCUAACUUCAUGUGUGCAUCAUGUUUAAACUUUGAAAGAAACUUGAAAUGGGGAUUGCCUAAACCCUAGCAUUAAAGGAAUUCACUAGGUUCAACCAAAAUAUUUCUAGUAAAUCCAAAUGGCUUUCAAAAAUGUUCAUCAUUCUUGGAAAAUGCUGGAAAUAGUAACCAGAGGUGAUGCACAUUUUUCCAUGACAUAUUUGGGCUCUGGAUUAAAUCAUACUCUAUUUGCAUUUGGGCAUUUAAAUGCUAUUAAAUAUUUUAAAUGCUCAAAUAAUCAUAAACUAAAAUGUUUACUGUAGGAUAUAUUCCCAACAGUGAUCAUGAGUAGUUUCAUGAGUUUAGGAAGUGUCUAAGUAUUUUUAAUAAAGCCCUAAAGUCUACAGAAUAUUAGAAAACAGAAACAAAUAAAAAAGGAGAGAAAGGAUACCUACCUGGCCUCACCUGUCGCAGCCCACCUGGCCAGCCCACCUGGCCGGCCCAGCCCAGCGCCGUGCCAGUCAUCCCCCACCUCUGCCAGUAGGCAGAGGAGGGACACCGCGACGCCGCCGCGCGCGCCACGGCGUCUCCUGCUUGCCGCCCGCGCCUCUGGAGGAUCUGGACGACGCCCACGUCGCCCGCUCGACCGCCCCGAUACCUCAUUCCCCCCUGGUUCUCUCUCUCGCCCUCUCCUCGCCAUGGCCGAAGCAGCCGUCGCCGUCCCGCCGACGUAGUCGCGCCCACCGUGCUCCCCUUGCCUCUCCGACGCGCUCCCAAGCUCCGCCUCAUCGCCAUCGCCAUCUCCGUCGACGCACGCGACGCCGAACGCCCCAAGCGACGACCCGAGCUCUUCUCCAACCUCCGGCCGCCGGAGAUCGCCUCCGCCGCACCGCCCGCUCCGGACCGUCUCCGAGCUCGCCGACCUGCUCGUCCGACUCGCCGUGAGCCACUGACCCGAACCCCCCUCCUCUGCUCUCCAUUUGCACGCUGUAGCCGUCGCUCCGCCGGAGACCGAACCCCGCCGUCGCCCGCGCUCGUCGCCGGUGCUGCUCCGGUGACCAUUUGGCCCCGGGCAUGCGUCCAUCGUACUCACCGCACCACGUAGACGCCGUAGGUGCUAAACGCACAUCGCCACGGCCACCGCAACCGCGUCCCCGCUCUCUGCCGACUCCGGCCGCCGCAAAGCUCGUCGCCGUCGCCACUCCGGCCACACCCCGGCCGCGCCACCCCCACGGUUGGAUGCGGACGAGCGUCCGCAUCCCGUAGCUGUGCUCCGCGCGCCAAACGGCGCCCCAUAGGGCAAACCCGUGGCUCGCCGCCGCGUCUGGCCUCGCCGGCGUCGAGUCGCCGGCAGGUUUGACCGAGUUGACCAGGGUUUGACCCCCUAGGUCAUUAACAUGUGGGCCCGAGGCCCUGCUAAUUUAGUUUAGAUGCUAAUUAAAUUUUAGCUAACCCACUGACUCGCUGACUGUGGGCCCCAGCCCUUCUAAUUACUUUAGUUAGGAUUUAACGAAACCCUGGUUAGCACUGAGUCAAUGACAGGUGGGCCACACCUGUCAGGUUUGACCUGGACGGUCCUGUUGACCAGCUGACGCCAGCAUGACUUAAUGCUGACGCAUUAAUUUAAUUACUGGAAUUAUUUUUAUACAGGAAAUUCCAGAAAAUACCCUAAACUUCUAAAAAUCAUAGAAAAUAAUCUAUAGCUCAGAAUGAAAAGAUUUAUAUAUGAAAAAUGAUCAGAAAAAUCCAAUCUAUCCAUCUGUACUGGUUUCAUGCAUGUUAGAGCAACCUAACCAUGCUGUUUAGAUGAAACAAGAUAAUGCACUUAUAUGACUCUAUAAAAUGGGUUUGCAUUUGAAUCUUUGGUUCAAAUGGACUCAUCUCAAUCUGUUCUAGCUUGCAUUAGCCCAUAACACAUUCAUAUUGCCAUGUCAUGAUCAUGCAUCAUAUUGUGCAUUGCAUUGAUUGUAUUUCUUCUCUGUUGCCGGUAUUUGUCCCCUCUCGGUAGACGAUGUUCCGGCAUUGUGAUCGUUGACACUAAUGAAGACUCAAUGCUAUCUUCAGAAGUUCCAGGCAAGCAAAACCUCCUUGUUCAUUCCGAUACAAUCCCACUCUCUCGCUCCUGCUCUCUUUUACUGCAUUAGGACAACAACGAUUCAUCUGUUACUUGCUGCGGUAGCUGAACCCCUUUAUCCUCUGCAUGACCUGUCAUUGCCACAAUAAAUAGAUGAAACCCACUAGCAUGAGUAGGAGUUGUUUGAGCCCUGAUGUGCCUACUCAUUCAUGCUUGUUGUCGUGCUUGCUAUUGCUUAGAGUUGUGUCAGGUCUGAUUCAUCGGGGAUGAAUUGGAAAGUGGUGAACAUGUCCUACUGUGUGAGAGCUAAGUGUGUGAACACGAUUUGGUAAAGGUAGAAGUGAGAGGCCAUGUAGGAGUACAUGGUGGGUUGUCUCAUUGGAACCGUCCUCAGGAACUGAGUUCUGUGUUUGUGAUCCAUGAACAGUUACUACCACACAUUGGGUUCCGGUAACUCGACCCCUCUCGACUUAUUAAUCAACUUGAUCUCUGUCCAGGAGUUGCAACUAGUUUCUGGUGUUUGUAGGUAGUGUUAGUAGUCUACCAAGUGGCACCCGGUACAGGUGGGAUUGGGACAGACUAGGCACACGUGGCCUGGUGUACCGAGUGGCACCCGGAUGGUGGGCUCGGGAACCCUGCACACAUCGUUUGGGGCUGUGAGCGACACCCCGGCCGGAUCUCCUUGCGGAUGGAACCCGAAUAGGCGAUAAACCUGGACGAGAGACUUGUGUGGUUAGUCAGGUCGUGGCCGACUCCCUCGCCAGGCUUCCGCUUGAAGGUUGCCGAGGUACACGACGUGUACAUGGUGGUAAGUGGCGAGAGCGUGUGUGAAGAAGUACACCCCUGCAGGGUUAAUAUGAUCUAUUCGAAUAGCCGUGUCCGCGGUAAAGGACUUCUGGGUCGCCUGUACAGUUCAUAGACAAGUGAAAGUGGAUACUCUAAAAUGCGCAAGAUAAGCGUGAGUGCUAUGGAUGGCGUUCUCAUAGGGAGACGGGAGCGGAUCCAUAGUGGUGUAUUGGUAUGGUGAAUUUGUGGACUCGUGUGCGCCACCUCAAAAGAGUUACUUGCAGUUGUAGUUCAGGAUAGCCACCGAGUCAAAGCUGGCUUGCUGCAGUUAAACUCCACCACCCCUUUUGUUGAUACCGAUGCAUAUGUAGAUAGUCCUGAUGUAAGUCUUGCUGGGUACAUUUGUACUCACGUUUGCUUAUUUUAUGUUUUGCAGAGAGACGUCAGUCUCGCUAGUAGUUCCGUGUGGACUUCGUCGUUUAGCUUGAUACCUCAGCUACGAUCUUGUGCCCUCGGCAGGAUCUAGUAGAUAGUCAGGCUUCUCAGCCUUUUUCAUUUAUAGUUGUCUGUACUCAGACAUGUUAAGCUUCCGCAUGUGCUUUGGCUUGUAUGCUCUGAAUGUUGGGUCAUGAGACCCAUGUUUGUAAUAUCUCGCUCUUCGGAGCCUAAUGAAUAAAUACUCUGAGUCGUAGAGUCUUGUUGUGAUGCCAUGUUGUAUUUGCGCAUAUCGAGCAUAUUGUGUGUAUGAUUGAAAUGCUUGGUAUGUGUGGGAUCCGACAACCUAGUUGUUUAUCCUUGGUAGCCUCUCUUAUGGGGAAAUGUAGUCUUGUGCUUCCAUGAGCCAUAGUAGUCCGCUACAGCCCGGUUCACCGGAGUCCUGCUAGCCCAGCACUACUGCUUCGGAACACUUGACUGGCCGGCAUGUGAUUCACUUCGUUCAUGUGUCUGUCCCUUCGGGGAAAUGUCACGCGGUGACAUCCGGAGUCCUGUCUAGCCUGCUACAACCCGGUUCACCGGAGUCCUGUUAGCCCAGUGCUACAGCCCGGAUUCGCACGCUGCUGACCGACAUGCUCGAUGUUGAUUCAUGUAUGCCUGUCCCCGUAAGUUAGUGCCACUUUGGGUUCACGACUAGUCAUGUCGGCCCGGGUUCUCUGUCAUAUGGAUGCUAGCGACACUAUCAUAUACGUGAGCUAAAAGUCACAAACGGUCCCGGGCCAUGGUAAGGCGACACCCGUGGGAGUACCGUGCGUGAGGCCGCAAAGUGAUAUGAGGUGUUACCGGCUAGAUCGAUGUGACUUGGAAUCGGGGUCCCGACAGCUUUGGUAUCAGAGCCUGACUGCCUGUAGGAUUACCAAGCCAAACUGGUCGAAGUUGAGUCCAGAAAUGCUUUAGUGAUAUAAGGGAAUUGAUUGUGGAAGGGAACGUAAGGCUCUUUUACUCCUUUACCUUAUAGCCUUCUGAUCUGAGUCAUCCUCUUCUCUUAUACGGGGAUUAAGAACUAGGCUUCUCAUCUUUCUAUCAGGAUCACGUGUUACUAAUCCGUAGACUCGUAGGAUUGUUGGUCUGAAGCCUCAGUUCAGUUUCUACUACUUCCAUGUGUUGAUAGUUCAUCCCAGAACCUUGAUAUGAUGUUGUUAAGUGACUAUGCAAAUCCUUGUAAAUGUCUCAAAUCCUUUCUGAGCAUUUACAGCCGUUAUGCUGUCCGAGUCAUCCCAGGUUUCUAAACAAUCUGAUGCAUUUGCAAAAUCCUUUCCCUCUAUUUUUGCGUCCCUUUGGGCCAGAUUAAGCACACUACCGGUGCGUUGAGGCACUCUUUUGCCUCGGUAUAUAUGUUGGAGCUAUUAUUAUGACCCUAGGUGUUUUAGGGAGUCACCUAGUAAUGUAGCCAUGUUUUGUGUUCCCGGUGUGAUGAUUCUGGCCACCAUUCUCGAAAGAAUCUCGUGAUGCUAUUUAGUAGUAGGUAUUCUACUCUUGGGUUCUUGACCCAAGAUUCACUCUACUUACCUCAUGUUGAUAGUGUUGCUCGUACCUUUAGGAUAUUAGUAACCUUUGCAAUAGCCCUCGAGGUCCGUGGUAUACCAUUCUUCCAAAUACCAUGAACCAUCCUUGGCAGAAGCUCCUCGUUGAACCAAAAGAUCACAACAAGAGUGCUCUCGAUGAGUUCUCCAUUCUACAUUGUGAAUCUGCCAGUUCUACCUUUCUGCAUGGGUUAUCCGGAAGAAAUAUGUUGAACUUGUUCGACAUACUAACCUAUGCGCCCACAACUCAAAAAGUUAUAUGUUCCUUUGAGUUGUCCCUCUUCAGUCGUAUUCCGACCUUCAUCUAUCAAUUGAUAGUCAAGGGUAUGUGUACGAUCGUGUUCAUCGAUGCCUAUUAUUCUUGUGGUCUGUCAAGCCAUUCUAUUCCGGAAUGACUAGGAGAAACAAACUCCGGUACCUCGUCCAUAUCUAGGAUUGGGUCAAAGAAAUUGUAUUCCGCAGACCAAAAUGUCAAUCCAGCUUUUGCUCUGCUCUACCUUGGAGCGUUACCAUCUUUAUGUCAAGAGUGUCAUGAGAAUUGCACCACCUCUUAUGAAUUCUUGACGCAGUGAUACUUCUCGCCAUCAUUAUUCAUUCCUCGGUCCCGUGUUGUCACAACCGGAAUACCGACAAGUGAACUGUGAUGUGUGAAAUCAAUACUCUGAGCAACUCGUUGCUUGGUAGUUAAUGGCAAUACUCUCAUUCUUAGCGUGCUGGUUAUUGAAUCAUCAUCCUAAGAUUGAUCGUGCUACCUAGUCCUUAUUUUUGGUGCACUCUUCAAUCAGUGAGUUAGGAUUUUUGUCAAACCCUUGCUCAGUUGAUCAUAUCGUCUUGCCCUGAAAAGCAAGAUUGUUCUCGAGCUUAGUAACAUAUGGGUGGUACGUGAUUUUCCGAAUAUCUUCUCGGAAGUAUCACCAAGUCGUCACCUGACCGCUAUGUUGAGUUCGUGAUCAUGUUGGUAUUCUUGUAAACCACCCUUUCUCCAAGAAUCUGUGUUGGAUACCCCUGAGCUAGUUGGUUAAGCCAAACAACAACUUGGAGAGUUGGAAGAUAAAAUCUUGCCUGGCUUAGUUCAUUCUAAGGGAUAUCUUUUUGUGUGUGUGUUGAAGAAAGAUGAUAUCUUCAUUGAUUGAUCCUUGUGAUCAAUUGUUGGAUCUACUGUCUUGUCAAUACUUUGAUUUGAGUGUGGGCUAUCGUCAAAUCAAAUCAGAACCAACGAUGUUCAUAAUGUUGUCUUACUCGUGGUUGUUUCCUCGAGCAUACACCAUUAUAUUCUUUGGGUCUGACCAAUGCUAUCACUUGUUCACAUAAUUAUGGAAGUCCAUCUCCAUUGGAAUUUUGAUAAAUUGUUGCUGAGCCCAUCGGCAACAUUCUUAUCUUCUCCAUGACUCGUGUUGAACAUUAAGUUAGUGUUGGAAACUUGUGCUAGCAUUUUCUUCGUGCUAUCUCAUGAAGGAUAUGUUUGGAUGAAAGAAGUGACUUUCUUUAAUUCACGUGCACUUGAUGUAAGGUGUCGCCGUGGAUCCGAGAAAGAUUGUUUUUGUUUUCUCUGGAACCAUCCCAAGUUAGUCAUGCAUGUGCAAAGUAUGCUAUGGUUUGAUAGGCUCGCUACCUCCAUUCUAUAUGUGUUCCUAGCACACCAAGCCACUGAUUGAUUUGUUCAAGGAAAAGGAGCUUGUUGUGCUAAUUCUAGAUCAUGCACAAGACUCCAAUAUCCUCGAUGAUGGUUCCCCACCUGAACUCGGUAGUGUUUUAUCACAAGACUACUAUGUGGUCAUGCUUGUCCGGGAUAGCGUGUUCACAUAUGUUUAGCAGAACCAACUCAUGUUUUGGAGCUUGCUACCGUAGCUCAUUUCCCGAGAAUCUCGCAACGUCAUCUCGUCGAUUUGUGUUGCAAACCUUCAUUUUCUUCUAGACUCGAUGAGUCUGGAAUAUCCUGUUACCAACCAUAUUUGAGUCUCGGGCAGAUAUGAUGGUUGGAACAUUUUCCAAGAAUUAUAAUAUUGGUCUCUGUGUAACCCGGUAAGUGGAUGUCCUAGCCAACACACCCAGCCGGAAGACCUAUUAUUGUAGUAUCCUGAUUGAUAAAGUUGGCCACCUCCCCAUAAGGAUUCCGUAGGAUUUACUUCCGUAGUUAUUCCUUAUGGAUUCUUGUGUUUCUGAAGUUCGACCUUUACUUGAUGGCCGUGUUGAUGUUUUAAGCAUUGACCGUGUUACGCUAGCACAUCAAGGAGAACAUUAGAAGCGGAGUGCUAAAUGUCUCUCGGUCGAUCAUCCAGAUUUUGCUCCCUUGGCUUCGCUAAGGUGAAAUCUGAGAAAGUGUUGUCCUCCUUUGCACCUGCAUCCUCCAUCACCGUUCAUCAUGGUAGUAUGUUGUGUUGCCAGGAUCCUCGACACGGAUAAUGGUAAAACCUUGAUGAAUAUGGAAAUGCUCAAGUUCUUGAGAGCACGCGCAAGCAAAAUCAUCCAUCGCGUUGUCUUCAACAAGGUAGUCCACAUCAUCCAUUCUAGUCCGAUUAUGUCAUUCUUUUGAACUCCUUCAAACGCUCGUUUGUGAAUUUCCUUAGGCUGGUAUAGGGAGUUCCAAUGAUCUCUGUAUCAAAAGUAAUUCUUUUUGCCACUUAAGGGAUAAUUCCACGAGUCACCCCCUCUAAGAUGUCUCGUUAUGGAAUCGUGGCAACUAUCUCCUCGCUACUUUGAAACCAUGCACCAUCCUACCCAAGCGUGGAGUUGUUGCCUACCAAAUUGAACCCUCGUCAUUGCUACCUUUCCUCGUUCCAGAUGUGUGUUUUGUGUGUCAGCUCAAGAGAUGUUUCAAUGUCUCACUCCAUGAGUUGAUCGUGAGUUGCCAACCUUUGUGAAGAUUGGAUCCUAUAGAGUUUCCCUCUCUUCCGUCGUCAUAGUUGGAUGAAGAUCUCGAAAGCAAAGACGACAAGAUCAAUUUGAAGAAAUGAGUCAACAUCUUCGAUGAGGGUAUUGGAUCGAGAAGAUUGUGUUGGCUUUUGUGUCCCCUUUUCCUCUUACCCUACGCUUGAAUCUCGGGACAAGAUUCUUGUUUAGUGGGGGCGAGUUGUCACAUCCCUAGCUUCUCGUAUUGCACUAGGCUAACUUCAUGUGUGCAUCAUGUUUAAACUUUGAAAGAAACUUGAAAUGGGGAUUUCCUAAACCCUAGCAUUAAAGGAAUUCACUAGGUUCAACCAAAAUAUUUCCAGUAAAUCCAAAUGGCUUUCAAAAAUGUUCAUCAUUCUUGGAAAAUGCUGGAAACAGUAACCAGAGGUGAUGCACAUUUUUCCAUGACAUAUUUGGGCUCUGGAUUAAAUCAUACUCUAUUUGCAUUUGGGCAUUUAAAUGCUAUUAAAUAUUUUAAAUGCUCAAAUAAUCAUAAACUAAAAUGUUUACUGUAGGAUAUAUUCCCAACAGUGAUCAUGAGUAGUUUCAUGAGUUUAGGAAGUGUCUAAGUAUUUUUAAUAAAGCCCUAAAGACUACAGAAUAUUAGAAAACAGAAACAAAUAAAAAGAAGGAGAGAAAGGAUACCUACCUGGCCUCACCUAGCGCAGCCCAGCUGGCCAGCCCAGCCCAGCGCCGUGCCAGUCAUCCCCCACCUCUGCCAGUAGGCAAAGGAGGGACACCGCGACGCCGCCGCGCGCGCCACGGCGUCUCCUGCUUGCCGCCACGGCGUCUCCAACCUCCGGCCGCCGGAGACCGAACCCCGCCGUCGCCCGCGCUCGUCGCCGGUGCUGCUCCGGUGACCAUUUGGCCCCGGGCAUGCGUCCAUCGUACUCACCGCACCACGUAGACGCCGUAGGUGCUAAACGCGCAUCGCCACGGCCACCGCAACCGCGUCCCCGCUCUCUGCCGACUCCGGCCGCCGCAAAGCUCGUCGCCGGCGCCACUCUGGCCACUCCCCGGCCGCGCCACCCCCACGGUUGGAUGCGGACGAGCGUCCGCAUCCCGUAGCUGUGCUCUGUGCGCCAAACGGCGCCCCGUAGGGCAAACCCGUGGUUCGCCGCCGCGUCUGGCCUCGCCGGCGUCGAGUCGCCGGCAGGUUUGACCGAGUUGACCAGGGUUUGACCCCCCUAGGUCAUUAACAUGUGGGCCCGAGGCCCUGCUAAUUUAGUUUAGAUGCUAAUUAAAAUUUAGCUAACCCACUGACUCGCUGACUGUGGGCCCCAGCCCUUCUAAUUACUUAGCACUGAGUCAAUAACAGGUGGGCCACACCUGUCAGGUUUGACCUGGACGGUCCUGUUGACCAGCUGACGCCAGCAUGACUUAAUGCUGACGCAUUAAUUUAAUUACUAGAAUUAUUUUUAUACAGGAAAUUCCAGAAAAUACCCUAAACUUCUAAAAAUCAUAGAAAAUAAUCUAUAGCUCAGAAUGAAAAGAUUUAUAUAUGAAAAAUGAUCAGAAAAAUCCAAUCUAUCCAUCUGUACUGGUUUCAUGCAUGUUAGAGCAACCUAACCAUGCUGUUUAGAUGAAACAAGAUAAUGCACUUAUAUGACUCUAUAAAAUGGGUUUGCAUUUGAAUCUUUGGUUCAAAUGGACUCAUCUCAAUCUGUUCUAGCUUGCAUUAGCCCAUAACACAUUCAUAUUGCCAUGUCAUGAUCAUGCAUCAUAUUGUGCAUUGCAUUGAUUGUAUUUCUUCUCUGUUGCCGGUAUUUGUCCCCUCUCGGUAGACGAUGUUCCGGCGUUGUGAUCGUUGACACUAAUGAAGACUCAAUGCUAUCUUCAGAAGUGCCAGGCAAGCAAAACCCCCUUGUUCAUUCUGAUACAAUCCCACUCUCUCGCUCCUGCUCUCUUUUACUGCAUUAGGACAACAACGAUUCAUCUGUUACUUGUUGCGGUAGCUGAACCCCUUUAUCCUCUGCAUGACCUGUCAUUGCCAUAUUAAAUAGAUGAAACCCACUAGCAUGAGUAGGAGUUGUUUGAGCCCUGAUGUGCCUACUCAUUCAUGCUUGUUGUCGUGCCUGCUAUUGCUUAGAGUUGUGUCAGGUCUGAUUCAUCGGGGAUGAAUUGGAAAGUGGUGAACAUGUCCUACUGUGUGAGAGCUAAGUGUGUGAACACGAUUUGGUAAAGGUAGCGGUGAGAGGCCAUGUAGGAGUACAUGGUGGGUUGUCUCAUUGGAACCGUCCUCAGGAACUGAGUUCUGUGUUUGUGAUCCAUGAACAGUUACUACCACACAUUGGGUUCCGGUAACUCGACCCCUCUCGACUUAUUAAUCAACUUGAUCUCUGUCCAGGAGUUGCAACUAGUUUCUGGUGUUUGUAGGUAGUGUUAGUAGUCUACCAAGUGGCACCCGGUACAGGUGGGCUUGGGACAGACUAGGCACACGUGGCCUGGUGUACCGAGUGGCACCCGGAUGGUGGGCUCGGGAACCCUGCACACAUCGUUUGGGGCCGUGAGCGACACCCCGGCCGGAUCUCCUUGCGGAUGGAACCCGAAUAGGCGAUAAACCUGGAUGAGAGACUUGUGUGGUUAGUCAGGUCGUGGCCGACUCCCUCGCCAGGCUUCCGCUUGAAGGUUGCCGAGGUACACGACGUGUACAUGGUGGUAAGUGGCGAGAGCGUGUGUGAAGAAGUACACCCCUGCAGGGUUAAUAUGAUCUAUUCGAAUAGCCGUGUCCGCGGUAAAGGACUUCUGGGUCGCCUGUACAGUUCAUAGACAAGUGAAAGUGGAUACUCUAAAAUGCGCAAGAUAAGCGUGAGUGCUAUGGAUGGCGUUCUCGUAGGGAGACGGGAGCGGAUCCAUAGUGGUGUAUUGGUAUGGUGAAUUUGUGGACUCGUGUGCGCCACCUCAAAAGAGUUACUUGCAGUUGUAAUUCAGGAUAGCCACCGAGUCAAAGCUGGCUUGCUGCAGUUAAACUCCACCACCCCUUUUGUUGAUACCAAUGCAUAUGUAGAUAGUCCUGAUGUAAGUCUUGCUGGGCACAUUUGUACUCACGUUUGCUUAUUUUAUGUUUUGCAGAGAGACGUCAAUCUCGCUAGUAGUUCCGUGUGGACUUCGACGUUUAGCUUGAUACCUCAGCUACGAUCUUGUGCCCUCGGCAGGAUCUAGUAGAUAGUCAGGCUUCUCAGCCUUUUUCAUUUAUAGUUGUCUGUACUCAGACAUGUUAAGCUUCCGCAUGUGCUUUGGCUUGUAUGCUCUGAAUGUUGGGUCAUGAGACCCAUGUUUGUAAUAUCUCGCUCUUCGGAGCCUAAUGAAUAAAUACUCUGAGUCAUAGAGUCUUGUUGUGAUGCCAUGUUGUAUUUGCACAUAUCGAGCAUAUUGUGUGUAUGAUUGAAAUGCUUAGUAUGUGUGGGAUCCGACAACCUAGUUGUUUAUCCUUGGUAGCCUCUCUUAUGGGGAAAUGUAGUCUUGUGCUUCCAUGAGCCAUAGUAGUCCGCUACAGCCCGGUUCACCGGAGUCCUGCUAGCCCAGCACUACUGCUCCGGAACACUUGACUGGCCGGCAUGUGAUUCACUUCGUUCCUGUGUCUGUCCCUUCGGGGAAAUGUCACGCGGUGACAUCCGGAGUCCUGCCUAGCCUGCUACAACCCGGUUCACCGGAGUCCUGUUAGCCCAGUGCUACAGCCCGGAUUCGCACGCUGCUGACCGACAUGCUCGAUGUUGAUUCAUGUAUGCCUGUCCCCGUAAGUUAGUGCCACUUUGGGUUCACGACUAGUCAUGUCGGCCCGGGUUCUCUGUCACAUGGAUUCUAGCGACACUAUCAUAUACGUGAGCUAAAAGACGCAAACGGUCCCGGGCCAUGGUAAGGCGACACCCGUGGGAAUACCGUGCGUGAGGCCGCAAAGUGAUAUGAGGUGUUACCGGCUAGAUCGAUGUGACUUGGAAUCGGGGUCCCGACAGCUUCAUAGACGGUAACAUCACCGUCCACGUCCGUCUUCUUCUUAAAGAUCCAUUUAUCUCAAUAGCUUGCCGAUCAUCGGGCAAGUCCACCAAAGUCCAUACUUUGUUCUGAUACAUGGAUCCUAUCUCGGAUUUCAUGGCUUCUAACCAUUUGUCGGAAUACGGGCCCACCAUCGCUUCUCCAUAGCUCGUAGGUUCAUUGUUGUCUAACAACAUGAUAUCUAAGACAGGAUUACCGUACCACUCAGGAGUAGUACAUAUCCUUGUCGACCUACGAGGUUCGAUAGCAACUUGAUCCGAAGCUUCAUGAUCACUAUCACUAACUUCCUCUUCAACAGGCGUAGGCGCCACAGAAACAUCUUUCUGUGUUGCACUACUUUCCGGUUGAAGUAGAGGUUCAACAACCUCAUCAAGUUCUAUCUUCCUCCCACUCAAUUCUUUCGAGAGAAACUCCUUCUCGAGAAAGGACCCGUUCUUGUGACAAACAAUUUGCCCUCGGAUCUAAGAUAGAAGGUAUACCCAACUGUCACCUUUGGGUAUCCUAUGAAGAUGUGUUUGUCCGCUUUGGGUUCGAGCUUCUCCGGCUGAAGCCUUAAGCAUUGCAGCCCCAAACAUUAAGAAACGACAACUUUGGUUUCUUGCCAAACCAAUGUUCAUAUGACGUCGUCUCAACGGACAUAGAUGGUGCCCUAUCUAAAGUGAAUGCAGCUGUCUCUAACGCAUAAUCUCAAAAUGAUAGCGGUAGAUCGCUAAGAGACAUCAUAGAUCGCACCAUAUCUCAUAAGGUUCGAUUACGACGUCCGGACACACCAUUUCGUUGUGGUGUUCCAGGUGGCUUCAACUGUGAAACAAUUCCACAAUGUCUUAAGUGAUUGCCAAACUCAUAACUCAGAAAUUCUCCCUCGAUCAGAUCGUAGGAAUUUGAUCUUCUUGUUAUGAUGGUUCUUAACUUCACUCUGAAAUUGCUUGAACUUUUCAAACGUUUCAGACUUGUGCUUCAUUAAGUAAAUAUACCCAUAUCUACUCAAAUCGUCAAUGAAGAUGAGAAAAUAACGAUAUCCACCACACGCCUUAAUUCUCAUUGGAUCACGCACAUCAGCAUGUAUGAUUUCCAACAAGUCACUUGCCCGUUUCAUUGUACCUGAAAACGGGAUCUUAGUCAUCCUGCCCAUGAGGCAUGGCUCGCAUGUGUCAAGCGAUUCAAAAUCAAGUGACUCCAAACAUCCAUCAGCAUGGAGUUUCUUCAUGCAUUUUAUGCCAAAAUGACCUAAGCGGCAAUGUCACAAGAAAGUGGUACUAUCAUUAUUAACUCUACAUCUUUUUGGCAUGAACAUGUGUAUUACCACGACCGAGAUUCAAUGAACCAUUCACAUAGGGUGCAUGACCAUGAAAGGUAUUAUUCAUGUAAACAGAAUAACCAUUAUUUUCUAACUUAAAUGAAUAAUCGUAUUGCAAUGAACAUGAUCUAAUCAUAUUCACGCUCAACGUAGACACCUGAUAACAUUUAUCUAGGUCCAAUACUAAUCCCGAAGGCAGAUGGAGCGUGCGAUGGUGAUCUCAUCAACUUUGGAAACACUUCCAACACACAUCGUCACCUCGCCCUUAGCCAGUCUCCGUUUAGUCCGUAGCUUUUGCUUCAAGUCACCAAUAAUAGCAACUGAACCGGUAUCUAAUACCCAGGUGCUACCGGGAGUACUAGUAAGGUACACAUUAAUAACACGUACAUACUUUGUUGAAGUUGACAGCCUUCUUAUCUACCAUGCAUUUGGGGUAGUUCCGCUACCAGUGACCGUUCCCCUUACAAUAGAAGCACUUAGUCUCGGGUUUGGGUUCAACCUUGGGUUCCUUCAUUGGAGCGGCAGCUGGUUUACCAUUCAUGAAGUUUCCCUUCCAGCCCUUGCCCUUCUUGAAACCAGUGGUCUUGUUAAACCAUCAACACUUGAUGCUCCUUCUUGAUUUCUACUUUUUGCGGUCUUAAGCACCGCGAACAGCUCCGGGAUCAUCUCCAUCCCUUGCAUGUCAUAGUUCAUCACGAAGAUCUAGUAGCUUAGUGAUAGUGACUAGAGAACUCUAUCAAUCACUAUAUUAUCUGGAAGUUUAACUCCCACUUGAUUCAAGUGAUUGUAGCACCCAGACAUUCUGAGCACAUGCUCACUAGCUGAGCUAUUCUCCUCCAUCUUGUAGGCAAGGAACUUGUCAGAGGUCUCAUACCUCUCAACACGGGCAUGAGCCUGAAAUCCCAAUUUCAGCUCUUGGAACAUCUCAUGUGUUCUAUGGCGUUCAAAACGUCAUUGGAAUCCCGAUUCUAAGCCGUAAAGUAUGGUGCACUUAACUAUCAAGUAGUCAUCAGGACGUAUCUGUUAGAUGUUCAUAACAUCCACAGACGACGCUGGAAGGGUUGGCACACCGAGCGGUGCAUCAAAGACAUAAGCCUUCUGUGUAGCAGUGAGGACACUCCUCAUGCAACGGACCUAGUCCGCGUCAAUGCUUACAAUAUCUUUCAACUUAAUCUUUCUCUAGGAACGUAUUGAAACAGGGAGCUACAACGCGAGCUAUUGAUCUACAACAUAUUUGCAAAGACAAUUUAGACUAUGUUCAUGAUAAUUAAGUUCAUCUAAUCAAAUUAUUUAAUGAACUCCCACUUAAAUAGACAUCCCUCUAGUCAUCUAAGUGAUACAUGAUCCGAAUCGACUAGGCCGUGUCCGAUCAUCACGUGAGACGGACUAGUCAUCAUCGGUGAACAUCUUCAUGUUGAUCGUAUCUUCUAUACGGCUCAUGUUUGACCUUUCGGUCUUCCGUGUUCCGAGGCCAUGUCUGUACAUGCUAGGCUCAUCAAGUCAACCUAAGUGUUUCGCAUGUGUUCCGAGGCCAUGUCUGUACAUGCUAGGCUCGUCAACACCCGUUGUAUUCGAACGUUAGAAUCUAUCACACCCGAUCAUCACGUGGUGCUUCGAAACAAUGAACCUUCGCAAUGGUGCACAGUUAGGGAGAACACUUUUCUUGAAAUUUUAGUGAGGGGUCAUCUUAUUUAAGCUACCGUCGUUCUAAGCAAAUAAGAUGUAAAACAUGAUAAACAUCACAUGCAAUCUAAUAGUGACAUGAUAUGGCCAAUAUCAUUUUGCUCCUUUUUGAUCUCCAUCUUCGGGGCGCCAUGAUCAUCGUCGUCACCGGCAUGACACCAUGAUCUCCAUCAUCAUGAUCUCCAUAAUCGUGUCUUCAUGAAGUUGUCUCGUCAUCUAUUACUUCUACUACUAUGGCUAACGGUUUAGCAAUAAAGUAAAGUAAUUACAUGACGUUUAUGUUGACACGCAUGUCAUAAAUAAAUUAAGACAACUCCUAUGGCUCCCGCCGGUUGUCAUACUCAUCGACAUGCAAGUCGUGAUUCCUAUUACAAGAACAUGAUCAAUCUCAUACAUCACAUAUAUCAUUCAUCACAUCCUUUUGGCCAUAUCACAUCACACGACAUAUGCUGCAAAAACAAGUUAGACGUCCUCUAAUUGUUGUUGCAAAUUUUUACGUGGCUGCUAUAGGUUUCUUAGCGAGAACGUUUCUUACCUACGCCAAAACCACAACGUGAUAUGCCAAUUUCUAUUUACCCUUCAUAAGGACCCUUUUCAUCGAAUCCGAUCCGACUAAAGUGGGAGAGACAGACACCCGCUAGCCACCUUAUGCAACUAGUGCAUGUCAGUCGGUGGAACCUGUCUCACGUAAGUGUACGUGUAAGGUCGGUCCGGGCCGCUUCAUCCCACGAUGCCGCCGAAUCAAGAUAAGACUAGUAACGGCAAGUAAAUUGACAAAAUCGAUGCCCACAACUACUUUGUGUUCUACUCGUGCAUAGAAAUUACGCAUAGACCUAGCUCAUGAUACCACUGUUGGGGAACGUAGCAGAAAUUUAAAAUUUUCUACGCAUCACCAAGAUCAAUCUAUGGAGUAAUCUAGCACCGAGGGGAAGGGGAGUGCAUCUACAUACCAUUGUAGAUCGCUAAGCGGAAGCGUUGCAAGAACGCGGAUGAAGGAGUCGUACUCGUAGCGAUUCAGAUCGCGGUUGAUUCCGAUCUAAGCGCCGAACCACGGCGCCUCCGCAUUCAACACACGUGCAGCCCGGUGACGUCUCCCACGCCUUGAUCCAGCAAGGGGAGAAGGAGAAGUUGGGGAAGACUCCGUCCAGCAGCAGCACGACGGCGUGGUGGUGGUGGAGGAGCGCGGAACUCCAGCAGGGCUUCGCCAAGCACUACGAGAGACGAGGAGGGAGAGAGGCAUGGCUGCGCCUGGGAGAGAAUAACUCGUGUAUUGGGCAGCCCCUAGACCUCAACUAUAUAUAGGGGGAGGGGAGGGGGCUACGCCCCCUCUAGGGUUCCCACCCCAAGGGGUGCGGCAGCCCCAGAUCCCAUCUAGGGUGGCGGCCAAAGGGGGGAGAGGGGGAGGCGCACCUGGGGUGGGCCUUAGGGCCCAUCUGCCCUAGGGUUUGCCCCCAUCUUCUCUUGAGGCGCCUUGGGCCUUGGUGGGGGGCGCACCAGCCCACCUAGGGGCUGGUCCCUUCCCACUAUUGGCCCACGCAAGCCUCUGGGGCUGGUGGCCCCUCCCGGUGGACCCCGGGACCUUUCCGGUGGUCCCGGUACAUUACCGGUGAUGCCCGAAACACUUCCGGUGGCCAAAUCCUCACUUCCUAUAUAUCAAUCUUUACCUCCGGACCAUUCCGGAACUCCUCGUGAUGUCCGGGAUCACAUCCGGGACUCUGAACAACAUUCGGUAACCGCGUACAUACUUUCCCUAUAACCCUAGCGUCAUCGAACCUUAAGUGUGUAAGCGACCCUACCCUUGUCUUUCUUGAACUUAGUGGUUUUAUUCACCAUCAACACUUGAUGUUCCUUUUUGAUCUCCACCUCCGCUGAUUUCAGCAUUGAAUAUACCUCAGGAAUGGUCUUUUCCAUCCCCUGCAUAUUGAAAUUCAUCACAAAGCUCUUGUAGCUAGGUGGAAGCGACUGAAGGAUUCUGUCAAUGAGCGCGUCAUCCGGGAGAUUAACUCCCAGCUAAGACAAGCGGUUGUGCAACCCAGACAUUUUGAGUAUAUGUUCGCUGACGGAACUAUUCUCCUCCAUCUUACAACUAUAGAACUUGUCGGAUACUUCAUAUCUCUCGACCCGGGCAUGAGCUUGGAAAACCAUUUUCAGCUCUUGGAACAUCUCAUAUGCUCCGUGCUGCUCGAAACGCUUUUGGAGCCCCGGUUCUAAGCUGUAAAGCAUGCCGCACUGAACCAGGGAGUAAUCAUCAACACGUGUUUGCCAGGCGUUCAUAACGUCUUGGUUUGCUGGGACGGGUGCUUCACCUAGCAGUGCUUCAAGGACAUAUGCUUUCUUGGCAGCUAUGAGGAUGAUCCUCAAGUUCCGGACCCAGUCCGUAUAGUUGCUACCAUCGUCUUUCAGCUUGGUUUUCUCUAGGAACACGUUGAAGUUGAGGUUGACAUUAACGUGGGCCAUUUGAUCUACAAUACAUAUUGUAAAGAUUUUAGACUAAGUUCAUGAUAAUUAAGUUCAUCUAAUCAAAUUAUUAAUGAACUCCCACUCAGACAGACAUCCCUCUAGUCAUCUAAGUGAUACAUGAUCCGAGUCAACUAGGCCGUGUCCGAUCAUCACGUGAGACGGACUAGUCAUCAUCGGUGAACAUCUUCAUGUUGAUCGUAUCUGCUAUACGACUCAUGUUCGACCUUUCGGUCUCUUGUGUUCCGAGGCCAUGUCUGUACAUGCUAGGCUCGUCAAGUCAACCUAAGUGUAUUGCGUGUGUAAAUCUGGCUUACACCCGUUGUAUGCGAACGUUAGAACCUAUCACACCCGAUCAUCACGUGGUGCUUCGGAACAACGAACCUUCGCAACGGUGCACAGUUAGGGGGAACACUUUCUUGAAAUUUUAGCGAGGGAUCAUCUUAUUUAUGCUACCGUCGUUCUAAGCAAAUAAGAUGUAAAACAUGAUAAACAUCACAUGCAAUCAAAUAGUGACAUGAUAUGGCCAAUAUCAUUUUGCUCCUUCUGAUCUCCAUCUUCGGGGCGCCAUGUUCAUCAUUGUCACCGGCAUGACACCAUGAUCUCCAUCAUCGUGUCUUCAUGAAGUUGUCUCGCCAACUAUUACUUCUACUACUAUGGCUAACGGUUAGCAAUAAAGUAAAGUAAUUACAUGACGUCUCAGUUGACACGCAGGUCAUAAAUAAAUUAAGACAACUCCUAUGGCUCUUGCCGGUUGUCAUACUCAUCGACAUGCAAGUUGUGAUUCCUAUUACAAGAACAUGAUCAAUCUCAUACAUCACAUAUAUCAUUCAUCACAUUCUUCUGGCCAUAUCACAUCACAUGACACAUGAUGCAAAAACAAGUUAGACGUCCUCUAAUUGUUGUUGCAAAUUUUUACGUGGCUGCUAUAGGUUUCUAGCAAGAACGUUUCUUACCUACGCCAAAGCCACAACGUGAUAUGCCAAUUUCUAUUUACCCUUCAUAAGGACCCUUUUCAUCGAAUCCGAUCCGACUAAAGUGGGAGAGACAGACACCCGCUAGCCACCUUAUGCAACUAGUGCAUGUCAGUCGGUGGAACCUGUCUCACGUAAGCGUACGUGUAAGGUCGGUCCGGGCUGCUUCAUCCCACGAUGCCGCCGAAUCAAGAUAAGACUAGUAACGGCAAGUAAAUUGACAAAAUCGACGCCCACAACAACUUGUGUUCUACUCGUGCAUAGAAACUACGCAUAGACCUAGCUCAUGAUGCCACUGUUGGGGAUCGUUGUAGAAAUUUAAAAUUUUCUAAGCAUCACCAAGAUCAAUCUAUAGAGUCAUCUAGCAACAAGAGAGAGAGGAGUGUUGGGAUCGAUGCAGAAAUUUAAAAUUUUCUACGCAUCACCAAGAUCAAUCUAUGGAGUAAUCUAGCACCGAGGGGAAGGGGAGUGCAUCUACAUACCAUUGUAGAUCGCUAAGCGGAAGCGUUGCAAGAACGCGGAUGAAGGAGUCGUACUCAUAGCGAUUCAGAUCGCGGUUGAUUCCGAUCUAAGCGCCGAACCACGGCGCCUCCGCAUUCAACACACGUGCAGCCCGGUGACGUCUCCCAUGCCUUGAUCCAGCAAGGGGAGAAGGAGAAGUUGGGGAAGACUCCGUCCAGCAGCAGCACGACGGCGUGGUGGUGGUGGAGGAGCGCGGAACUCCAGCAGGGCUUCGCCAAGCACUACGAGAGACGAGGAGGGAGAGAGGUAUGGCUGCGCCUGGGAGAGAAUAACUCGUGUAUUGGGCAGCCCCUAGACCUCAACUAUCUAUAGGGGGAGGGGAGGGGGCUGCGCCCCCUCUAGGGUUCCCACCCCAAGGGGUGCGGCAGCCCCAGAUCCCAUCUAGGGUGGCGGCCAAAGGGGGGAGAGGGGGAGGCGCACCUGGGGUGGGCCUUAGGGCCCAUCUGCCCUAGGGUUUGCCCCCAUCUUUUCUUGAGGCGCCUUGGGCCUUGGUGGGGGGCGCACCAGCCCACCUAGGGGCUGGUCCCUUCCCACUAUUGGCCCACGCAAGCCUCUGGGGCUAGUGGCCCCUCCCGGUGGACCCCCGGACCCUUCCGGUGGUCCCGGUACAUUAUCGGUGAUGCCCGGAACACUUCCGGUGGCCAAAUCCUCACUUCUUAUAUAUCAAUCUUUACCUCCGGACCAUUCCGGAACUCCUCGUGACGUCCGGGAUCUCAUCCGGGACUCCGAACAAAAUUCGGUAACCGCAUACAUACUUUCCCUAUAACCCUAGCGUCAUCGAACCUUAAGUGUGUAGACCCUACGGGCUCGGGAACCAUGCAGUCAUGACCGAGACAUAUCUCCGGCCAAUAACCAACAGCGGGAUCUGGAUACCCAUGUUGUCUCCCACAUGUUCCACGAUGAUCUCAUCGGAUGAACCACGAUGUCAAGGAUUCAAUCAAUCCCGUAUACAAUUCCCUUUGUCUACCGGUAUAGUACUUGCCCGAGAUUCGAUCGUCGGUAUCCCGAUACCUUGUUCAAUCUCGUUACCGGAAAAUCUCUUUACUCGUUCCGUAACACAUCAUCUCGUGAUCAACUCCUUGGUCACAUUGUGCACAUUAUGAUGAUGUCCUACCGAGUGGGCCCAGAGAUACCUCUCCGUUUACACGGAGUGACAAAUCCCAGUCUCGAUUCGUGCCAACCCAACAGACACUUUCGGAGAUACCUGUAGUGCACCUUUAUAGCCACCCAGUUACGUUGUGACGUUUGGUACACCCAAAGCAUUCCUACGGUAUCCGAGAGUUGCACAAUCUCAUGGUCUAAGGAAAUGAUACUUGACAUUAGAAAAGCUUUAGCAGACGAACUACACGAUCUUGUGCUAGGCUUAGGAUUGGGUCUUGUCCAUCACAUCAUUCUCCUAAUGAUGUGAUCCCGUUAUCAACGACAUCCAAUGUCCAUGGUCAGGAAACCGUAACCAUCUAUUGAUCAACGAUCUAGUCAACUAGAGGCUUACUAGGGACAUGGUGUUGUCUAUGUAUCCACACAUGUAUCUGAGUUUCCUAUCAAUACAAUUCUAGCAUGGAUAAUAAACAAUUAUCAUGAACAAGGAAAUAUAAUAAUAACCAAUUUAUUAUUGUCUCUAGGGCAUAUUUCUAACAAGGAGUGCAUCUACAUACCCUUGUAGAUCGCGAGCGGAAGCGUUAAAGAGAACGGGGUUGAUGGAGUCGUACUCGUCGUGAUCCAAAUCACCGAUGAUCCUAGCGCCGAACGGACGGCACCUCCGCGUUCAACACACGUACGGAGCAGAGAUGUCUCCUCCUUCUUGAUCCAGCAAGGGGGAAGGAGAAGUUGAUGGAGAUCCAGCAGCACGACGGCGUGGUGGUGGAUGCAGCGGGAUUCCAGCAGGGCUUCGCCAAGCGCUAUUGGAGGAGGAAGAGGUGUCACGGGAGGGAGAGGGAGGCGCCAGGGCUUAGGGUGCGGCUGCUCUCCCUCCCCUCCACUAUAUAUAGGGGCUAGGGGGGGCGCAUGCCCCCUUUGGAGAUCCCAUCUAGAGGGGGGCGGCGGCCACUCGGGGGGCAACGCCCCCCUUAGGGUUUCCAACCAGGGGGCGCAUGCCCCCUCGGGGGGGCAACGGCCCCCUAGGGUUUCCAACCCUAGGCGCCUUGGGCCCUUGGGUGGGGCGCACCAGCCCACCAGGGGCUGGUUCCCACGCCACUUCAGCCCAUGGGGCCCUCCGGGAUAGGUGGCCCCACCCCGUGGACCCCCGGGACCCUUCCGGUGGUCCCGGUACAAUACCGGUGACCCCCGAAACUCUCCCGGUGGCCGAAACUGGACUUCCUAUAUAUAAAUCUUUACCUCCGGACCAUUCCGGAACUCCUCGUGACGUCCGAGAUCUCAUCCGGGACUCCGAACAACUUUCGGUUAACCGCAUACUAAUAUCUCUACAACUCUAGCGUCACCGAACCUUAAGUGUGUAGACCCUACGGGUUCGGGAGACACGUAGACAUGACCGAGACAACUCUCCGGUCAAUAACCAACAGCGGGAUCUGGAUACCCAUGUUGGCUCCCACAUGCUCCACGAUAAUCUCAUCGGAUGAACCACGAUGUCGAGGAUUCAAUCAAUCCCGUAUACAAUUCCCUUUGUCAAUCGGUACGUUACUUGCCCGAGAUUCGAUCGUCGGUAUCCCAAUACCUCGUUCAAUCUCGUUAUCGGCAAGUCACUUUACUCGUUCCGUAAUGCAUGAUCCCGUGACUAACUACUUAGUCACAUUGAGCUCAUUAUGAUGAUGCAAUACCGAGUGGGCCCAGAGAUACCUCUCCGUCAUACGGAGUGACAAAUCCUAGUCUCGAUCCGUGCCAACCCAACAGACACUUUCGAAGAUACCUGUAGUGCACCUUUAUAGCCACCCAGUUACGUUGUGACGUUUGGUACACCCAAAGUAUUCCUACGGUAUCCGGGAGUUGCACAAUCUCAUGGUCUAAGGAGAUGAUACUUGACAUUAGAAAAGCUUUAGCAAACGAACUACACGAGCUAGUGCCAUGCUUAGGAUUGGGUCUUGUCCAUCACAUCAUUCUCCUAAUGAUGUGAUCCCGUUAUCAAUGACAUCCAAUGUCCAUGGUCAGGAAACCGUAACCAUCUAUUGAUCAAUGAGCUAGUCAACUAGAGGCUCACUAGGGACAUGUUAUGGUCUAUGUGUUCACACAUGUAUUACGAUUUCCGGAUAACACAAUUAUAGCAUGAACAAUAGAUAAUUAUCAUGAACAAGGAAAUAUAAUAAUAACCAUUUUAUUAUUGCCUCUAGAGCAUAUUUCCAACACUCAGCAAGCGGUAUCUCAUCCAUACCCAUGGCGAGUUCCUUCUCUUUGGUGGCGGUGGUCUUGGUUCUGCGUUGGGGGGCAUUGGAGCCCUCUGCUGCCUCUGUGUUGCGCAUACGCUUGGAUCCCGUGUCACGGCUUGGAUUGGAGCGGCGAGCCGGAGCACCUGAGCCACCACCUAAAACACACACCACAAAACAAACACGCAUGAAACGCGAGAAGGAUCAAUGCAAAGACCACAGCAAAGCAGGUGAAACAAGUAGACAUGGCACGUGAGAAGUGCCACAAGAGGGAUUUGAGACAACGGUAGUAUCGUGUGUUGCGCCAUGUGCGGUAGUACAGCUCCAAGGGGCGGUAGUACCGUAGACGCGGUAGUACCGCACCAGCAGGGCGGUAGUACCGGACCUGCGGUAGUACCGCACCUAAAGAGCGGUAGUACCGCAUGGUUGCAGAUCUGAAACGGCCACGGAGAUCUGAGCACAACCGUGUCAACACGCGGUACUACGGUCGAUCAAAUCCAUCACGGGACAACUAUAGCAAGUACCAUCACUACACAAAACUACUCUCCUACGUCCUACUCUUGCAUAGAUUUGGCCUAAAAUCUCAAGAACAACUUGCAUCUCCCCAAAACCUAAAAGCAACAAGACGAACAAUAAAAAGGGAGGGAUUGGGGAGAAACCUUGUUCCAUGGAAAGAGGGAGUGGUGGGGAAUGAUCCCACCGGUUGGAAUCCGAGGAGAGCGGCCGGAGACGGAGAUCCGGCGAGGACCUCCGGCGCCGUUCUUGAGCGAGAGAGAGAGACGGAGUGGGGAGAGAGACGAAUGGGUAUGGGGGAGUUAGAACUCCCCCUGCCCGUGUUUAACCCCCCACGCGCCCUCGACCGCACGGUAGUACCGCACGUCAUCGCGGUACUACCGCCACGGGUGAAAGUACCGCACCGUGACUUUAGUACCGCUCCCCCAGGCGGCAGUAAAAAAAUUACUGCUGCGCUGGGUGCGGAAGUACCGUGCGCUCCUCACGCGGUAGUACCGCACGUCAUUGCGGUAGUACCGCCCGGGCGGGAGUACCGCACCGAGGCCGUAGUACCGCUCCCCCAGGCGGCAGUAAAAAAUUACUGCCGCGCUGGGUGCGGAAGUACCGCCCCCUCCCUUUUGCGGUAGUACCGUGGCAGGCCGCGGUAGUACCGUGAGCUCAAGAAAAGACAGUUUCAACCAAAAGAGAGAACACCGAAGCACGGAACCUUCAAGCGAGAGACCACACCAAAGAGCUAACACACUGGACACCAUAAUCACAAGCUCGACACGAAGGAAAAGAGGCAAGAGACAACACAGACCAAAAACGAGACACAGACUCUCCAAGGAGAGGGCGGUGGCCGGAGCCACCUAUGUUUGAGUCAAUUGGUAUGGCACCGCGAAGAAUUAUCCUUGGGCCCAUGACCAAAACUCGUCUUUGAAGCACAAGUACCAUCAAAAAUGGCUAAUGUGAAAGAGUUGAUCACUUUAUGCAUAAUGGGGGAGGGAGAGUUCAUUGAGAGAACAACACUCCCCCUAUGUCCAUGCCUACACCUAGAUUAGACAACAAGUUGAGUGUGGUGGGGUGUGCAAGGGUUCAAGCAACAUUUCUCGAAUCAAUAAUAUUUAGCUCAUGCCUUAACUCGCGAAAUCUUGCUUCAUCCAAAGGCUUCGUGAAAAUAUCUGCAAGGUUAUCAUGGGUGUUGACGUAGUUGAGCUCGAUCUCCCCUCGCCUAAUGUGAUCUCGGAUGAAGUGAUACCGAAUCUCAAUAUGCUUCGUCUUGAAGCGUUGCACGGGGUUGAGAGAAAUCUUGAUGGCACUUUCAUUAUCACACCAAAGAGGCACUUUGUCACAAAUGACACCGUAAUCCUUUAAAGUUUGCCUCAUCCAUAAGAGUUGUGCACAACAACUGCCGGCCGCCACAUACUCCGCUUUGGUGGACGAGAGAGACACACAACUUUGCUUUUUAGAAGACCAACUUACCAAAGAGCAACCAAGGAAUUGGCACCCUCCGGAAGUGGACUUCCUAUCCACUUUGUCUCCCGCCCAAUCGGAGUGCGAAUACCCUACAAGCUUGAAGUUUUCUCCUCUUGGGUACCAUAAGCCAAAGUUUGGGGUAUGAGCCAAAUAUCGAAAGAUUCGCUUGACCACCACAAAGUGGCUUUCCUUAGGUGCGGCUUGAAACCGUGCACAAAUCCCCACACUCAACAUGAUAUCCGGUCUAGAUGCACAAAGGUAAAGCAAGGAACCAAUCAUGGAGCGAUAUACCUUUUGAUACACCGCUUUACCAUUGGGAUCGAUGUCAAGUUGGCACUUGGUGUGCAUUGGAGUGGACGCCGGCUUGACAUCACUUAGCUUGAACCUCUUGAGCAUGUAUUGAGUGUAUUUGGCUUGGUUGAUGAAGGUUCCUUCUCUUCUUUGCUUUACUUCGAAACCGAGAAAGAACUUCAACUCUCCCAUGGAAGACAUCUUGAACUUUGAGGUCAUGAGUGCGGAAAAUUCCUCAUUGAAAGCUUUGUUAGGGGAACCAAAGAUAAUGUCAUCAACAUAUAGUUGGCACACAAACAACUCCCCUUUGACCUUCUUAGUAAAAAGAGUGGGGUCGAUUAGCCCAACUUCAAACCCACGAUCUUGUAACAACUCGGUAAGGUGGUCAUACCACGCACGUGGGGCUUGUUUAAGGCCAUAGAGUGCCUUAUCGAGUUGAUACACAUGAUCGGGAAAGUAGGGAUCCUCGAACCCGGGGGGUUGUUUGACAUAAACCAACUCAUUAAUAGGACCAUUAAGAAAAGCACUCUUCACAUCCAUCUGUUGCAACUUAAAGUUGUGAUGAGAAGCAUAAGCAAUCAACAAACGAAUAGAUUCAAGGCGAGCAACGGGAGCAAAGGUUUCACCGUAGUCGAUACCCUCGACUUGGGAGUAGCCUUGUGCCACCAAUCGUGCCUUGUUGCGGAUGAUGGUCCCAUGAGCAUCUUGCUUGUUCUUGAAUAUCCACUUGGUUCCAAUGACAUUGUGGUUCCCCGUUGGCCUUGGCACUAAUCUCCACACCUUGUUGUACUCGAAGUUGUUGAGUUCUUCAUGCAUGGCAUUAAGCCAAUCCGGAUCUUCGAGUGCUUCAUACACCUUUUGGGGUUCAACACAAGAGACAAAUGCGUGAUGUUCACAAUAGUUUGCCAAUUGUCUACAAGUGCUUACCCCCUUUUGAAUGCUUCCAAGCACAUUCUUCAUGAGAUGACCCUUGGUGGAGAGCUUGGAUGCAAUCUUGGUGGCACGACGCUCCAAUUCCUCCUCGGUGGUGAGUUGAGGAGCGAUCAGUUGAUCAUCUUGAGCGCCGUCUUGAGCUUGUUCUUGAUCUUGAACUUGCUCGGAGGAGAGAACUUGACCUUGGGCAUCACAUGGUGUGUCACCACCGUCUUGAGCAUGAUCUUGCCCUUGGUCUUGUUCAUGAGGUUGAGGGCCUUCACUGUGUUCUUCGGAAGCGUGUGGGCCUUGGGUUGGUGAUGGCUCCACUUGAGUGGAGCAUUGUCCUUCUCCUUCGGCCACAAGGGGUUCCUCAAUGGGUAGGAUAAAACCAACACCCAUUCUUCUUAUGGCUUGAGUAGGAAUUUCAUCACCUACAUCACAAGUGCCACUUUGCUCCACUUGGGAGCCGUUAUUCUCAUCAAACUCCACGUUACACGUCUCCUCAAUAAGUCCCGUGGAUUUAUUGAGGACACGGUAAGCAUGAGAGUUUGUAGCAUAACCAACAAAUAUGCCCUCAUAAGCUCUAGCUUCAAAUUUAGACAACCGAACACCUUUCUUGAGAAUGAAACACUUACACCCGAACACCCGAAAGUACUUGAGGUUGGGCUUGUUACCGGUGAGUAUCUCAUAUGGAGUCUUGUUCAAGCCCUUGCGGAGGUAGAGCCGAUUGGAUACAUGACACGCGGUGUUGAUGGCUUCGGCCCAAAAGUUGUAUGGAGACUUGAACUCCGCCAUCAUGGUCCUUGCCGCAUCCAUCAACGUCCGGUUCUUCCUCUCCGCAACACCGUUUUGUUGAGGGGUGUAAGGUGCGGAAUAUUGAUGCUUGAUCCCCUCAUCACUAAGAAACUCAUCCAAGGUGUAGUUCUUGAACUCGGUGCCGUUGUCACUUCUUAUUGUCAAGAUCUUUGCAUUGUGUUGACGUUGGGCUUCAUUUGCAAAGUCAAUGACGGUUUGUUGGGUCUCGCUCUUCCUCUUGAAGAAAUACACCCAAGUGUAUCUUGAAUAGUCAUCCACAAUCACCAAGCAAUACUUCCUACCCCCAAGACUAUCAAAGGAUGGAGGCCCAAAGAGAUCCAAGUGAAGGAGCUCCAAAGGCCUCUUCGAGUAAAUGAUAGUCGUGGGAGGGUGAGCCUUCUCAUGUAGCUUUCCUUUGAUACAAGCACUGCAAGCACGAUCUUUAGCAAAACUAACAUUCGUUAGUCCACGGACAUGGUCCCCCUUGAGAAGACUUUGCAAAGAUCUCAUAUUGACAUGGGCUAAACAGCGAUGCCAAAGCCAUCCCACGUCAACUUUAGCCAUUAGGCAUGUCGCGGUCUUAGUGGGUCGCUCCGAAAAGUUAAUCACAUAGAGACCGUUCUUGACAUGCCCAACAAAGGCUACUUUAAGAGUCUUGCUCCACAAGAGGGCCACGGUAUCAAUAUCAAAGAAAGUGGCAAAGCCCAUGAUUGCAAGUUGACGAACGGAAAGUAAAUUGUAUGCAAGGGACUCAACAAGCACGACCUUCUCAAUCGUGAGAUCAUGAGAAAUGACUACUUUGCCGAGUCCCAAUACCUUAGAAGACGAGGCAUCACCCCACUCGACAUUGGUGGGCAUAGAUGGAAUCUUGUGCACGUCCACCACCAAGUCCUUGCUUCCGGUCAUAUGAUUUGUAGCUCCACUAUCGAGCAACCAUGAUCCCCCACCGAAAGCAAACACCUACAAGAGAUCAAUGCUUGGUUUCAGGUACCCAUUUGAUAAUGGGUCCUUUGAUGUUAAUAACAAGGGUCUUAGGAACCCAAAUAGACCAUUCAAUAUACUCAUGAGGAGAACCAACAAAUUUGGCAUAAACAUGCCCAUCACUAGCACGGCAUAACACAUAAGAAGGAUUAAAAUCGCCGGCUUUGUUGGAAGGGGUGGCAUUGUCCUUCUUGACACCGUCACCCUUCGCAUUGUUCUUCUUCUCCUUGGAAGCACCCUCUCCCUCCUUCACAAAAGUUUGCUUGAGAGGAGGAGGUCGUUUGGUCUUGCCAUUCUUCUUCUUGUUCUUGGGCUUGGGUGCGAACCCAAUCCCCUCCUUGGCCACAACUUCCUUUUGAUUGCUCAAAAGGUCGUUGAGGUUCUUCUCACCUUGUAUGCAUGACACAAGGCCUUUCUCAAGUUGCUCCUUCAACUUAGCAUUUUCCUCAACAAGAUGCACAUGCUCACAACAAGGGUUAGUAGCAUUUGCAUUAUCAAUUAACACCAUAUGAGGAAAGGUGGCUUUCUCCUUGGUUAGCCUCACUUGGAGUUGAUCAUGAUACUCCUUGAGGCUAGCAUGGACACCCUUCAAGACUUUGUGAGCCUUGUCGAGAAUAUCAAACUCCUCUUUGAGUCUAGCAAGAUCAACCCCAAGCUUUGCCUUCUCGGAGUUUAGCACACGAGAAACAACAAGAGCAUGAUCAAGAUCUUUCUUUAACUUAGCAUGAUCAUCGUUGUGUGACUCCUCAAGAGCCAAACUAAGACCACGCUCUUCGUCAAGAGCAUUGGAAAGAUCUGAAAUCUCAUUGGCAUAGUCACGACUAUGCCCCUCCAUCUUAGAGAUGGUAUCUUCGUGAGCCUCGAUCAUGUCAUUGGCUUCACCAAGUUGUUCCAAGAGAGCAACAAAGUGCUUCUUGGAUUUACCCUUGAGUUUACCCAUAAAGGUCUCAAACUCAUUCUCCUCCACAUUUGUCCCCUCAUGUUCAUCAAUGCUAUCCGAAGAAGGAUGAUUAAUGAUGGUAGUUUUGAUGUUGGGGGUUACCUUGUUGGUGGCUUUAGCCAUGAGGCACUUGGCGGUGAUGUUCUCAUUGGGUGAGUCAAAGAGAGACACCCGUGGAGUCGUCGCAAUGGCAACGGAGGCCAUGGCAACCGACUCACCAUCUUCCUCAUCGUCAUCAUCCUCAUUGUACCCUUCUUGUACCACCAAUGCCUUGGGAGAAGUCUUCUUGGUGAAGUUGCUCUUGUUGGGGAAUGACUUGGCCUUGUCCUUUCGGAUGAGCUUUCCACCAUUGUCUUCCCUCUUCUCAUAAGGGCACUCCGCAACAAAGUGGCUCACAUUGCCACAAUUGAAGCAAGUCCUCACUCGUUGCUUGCCCUUUGCGCCACUUGAAUUGUUCUUGUUGAAGUUGGGCCUUGAGUUCUUCUUGCUCGAAAAUUGCCUUGAAGCAAGCACCAUGUGUUCAUGAUAGGUAUACUUCGUAUCUUCGAGGUUGCUCUCCUCUUCUUCCUCUUCAUCCUCUUCCUCCAUACUAACCUUGGCCUUUAGAGCAAGGUUGGGCUUCUUUACUCUUUGAGAGCGAAGAACCGCAUUGUCGGCGGUCUUGUCCAAGAUGCUCAUAGAAACAAACUCAUCCAACACUUCACUUCAGGACAAGGUGUGGAAGUCCGGCCUUUGACGAAUGACGGAGGACAUGGCUUUGUGGUAGGGCAUCAUUGCCUUGAGGAAUUUGCGCUUGAUCCAAUUGUCAUCCGUGUCCUUACUUCCAUGAUCUCGGAGAGAGACCGCGAGUUUAGUUACUCUUCGAUAAAGCUCACGAGGUUCUUCAUCUUCUUUCAUUGCAAACUCAUCGGCUUCAUCUUGCACCACUUCAUAGUUGGAGCGUUGAAUGCUUGCACUUCCCCGAUAGAGGGAAACCACUUGGUGCCAAGCAUCUUUGGCCACGGUGUAGGGCCGGAGAUGAGGAAGAUCUUCGGGUGGGAUUGCUUCUUGGAUGAUGAAGAGAGCAUUCUCAUUGAAUUGAUCAUCCACUGCUUCUCUAGGAGUGAGGUUCCUUCGGUCAUGCGGAUAGAAACCUUCUUCAAUGAUUCUCCAAAGGUUAGUGUUCACAUGAUUUAAAUGACACUUAAAACGAUAGACCCAAGAAUCAAAUUCUACAUUCUUCUCAAUCUUAGGGGCCGGUCCGGCAUGAUUCAAAUGAGUGGAAGGAAGCGGUCCACCAUAGACAAGUGGAGGUUCCACAUGGGCAAAGAUGUCGGUGCCAUUUUUACCACUAGAAGAAGGAGCUUUCUCGCUAGUAGCUUCCCCCUUGUCGGAGGUAGCAUCCGUCACCUUGUUAGCGGGAUCACCCACUUUCAACGGUGCGGUGAAAAGUUUAAGCCCUUCUAAGAAUUUAUUAAACAUGCUUUCGACCUCGGUCUUCAUGGAGGUUUUCAAUGUGUCCAACGCCACAUUGAAUUCCUCACGAGAGACCGUGGUUCCCCCAUCUCCCGUAGAUGAGACCGGAUUCACACCGGAGUGCUCCUCCACACCGUCUACAACGCCAACCAUACUCUUCGGACGGUAAAGUCCUUAAUCAAGAGACGAGGCUCUGAUACCAAUUGAAAGGAUCGAUAUAGUUGACUAGAGGGAGGGUGAAUAGGCACCUAACAAUUUUUAGCUUUUGUUUACCAAUUUAAACUUUGCAUCAAAGUAGGUUGUCUAGAUAUGCAACUAGGUGAGCAACCUAUAUGAUGCAACAACAAUAAGCACACAUGCAAGCAAGAGAUAAAGCACAAAUAAGCUUGCACAAGUAAAGGCACGAGAUAACCAAGAGUGGAGCCGGUGAAGACGAGGAUGUGUUACCGAAGUUCCUUCCCUUUGAGAGGAAGUACGUCUCCGUUGGAGCGGUAUGGAGGCACAAUGCUCCCCAAGAAGCCACUAGGGCCACCGUAUUAUCCUCACGCCCUCACACAAUGCGAGAUGUCGUGAUUCCACUAUUGGUGCCCUUAGAGGCGGCGACCGAACCUUUACAAACAAGGUUGGGGCAAUCUCCACAACUUAAUUGGAGGCUCCCAACGAUACCACGAAGCUUCACCACAAUGAACUAUGGCUCCGCGGUGACCUCAACCGUCUAGGGUGCUCAAACACCCAAGAGUAACAAGAUCCACAAGGGAUUAGUGGGGGGAUUCAAAUUUCUCUUGGUGGAAGUGUAGAUCGGGACCUCCUCAACCAAUCCCUAGAGAAUCAACAAGUUUGAUUGGCUAGGGAAGGAGAUCAGGCGAAAAUGGAGCGUGGAGCUACAAUGGAGCUUGGAGGUGGAAGAGGUAGUCAACUAGAGGAGGAAGACACCCCUUAUAUAGUGGAAGAACAAAUCCAACCGUUAUCCACCAACUCAGCCUGCGCAGCGCGGUACUACCGCACCUGAGGCGCGGUACUACCGCAGGGGCACGCGGUACUACCGCAGGGCCCCGUGGUACUACCGCCCACGCAGCAGAGACCAGAACAACCAAAAAUGCACUAAAGCAGAGGGCGGUAGUACUGCUGGCGCGGUACUACCGCUCCCCCUUGCGGUACUACCGCAAGGCAGGGGCUGUCCAGGGAUGGGAAGGCACGGAUAUAAAAAUUACAUCCGUGGCUACUUCCGCAGAGUUGGAGUCGAUGCAAAAACCCGACGCGGUAGUACCGUAAGCCAGCAGCGGUACUACCGCGCGAGGCGCGGAUGUAAAAAAUUACAUCCGCCCCUUACUGUCGUGUACUUGCGGAACUAAGUCAGAGACCGCGGUACUACCGCUUACUAGAAGCGGUACUACCGUGGGUCCUUGCGGUACUACCGCACCAGCGGGCGGUACUACCGCGAGGUCCUGCGGUACUACCGCUCUAAGGAGCAGUACUACCGCACGCCCUAGUUCGGCAAGCAAGAGCAAUGUUUGCAUAGACAAAGAAAACAAAGGAUGCUCCAAAGGCUAGAGGAAAGGAGGUGCAAAGGAAGAUGUGUACGUGAUGAAUCCACCCAACCUUUCCAACGCGGACCCCCUCUUAAUAGUACGGCUUCCCUACGACUCAAUACCACCAAAAAGAAACAAAGAGAAACGCCGUCUUCUAUAGCCUUCGAGGGGAACCAAAUCAUCUUGUGCCUAGUCAAUAUAUCUGAAAUAUUCGAUGCACAUGAUUAGUCCGCAAAAGCAUUGUCAUCAAUCACCAAAACCAACUAAGGGAUAAAAAUGCCCUUACACACGCCAAGUGGUGUCUUAUCUCCGAGUGAAUCUCCUAGUAAAUAUAGCUCGACUUCAAGGGGUGUCUUAUCUAGCAGAGACUAUGUGUUUUGUGUUUCAAGCGCAACCUUCUAAUUGGAAUUGCCUCCGGUCUUUGCAUACCUCCACAUCGAAUAUCCCAAGUCCAUCGUGCAUAUAGAUAUCAGCCAGGUAUUGUAAUAUGUUAGACACAAACUUCAAUGCCAAACUGUCUAACUUUGGGCUUGUGACACAAGUCAACCAUACCCAAACCUCACGCACGACGAUGAAUAUAGCCGGGACUCGAUCAUACAACGACCCAGCAUGUUUUGAGACCGGAAAGACAUGUGGGCAGUCUGAUGUGUACGGCUUAGGCGUGAUGUUGCUCAAAAUUGUCUGUGGUGAAAAACCAACCACACAGGCUAAUGGCAAGAACAACCUUAUCGAGAAGGUCCUAAAAUGUCAAGCGAACAAUACAAUUCUCGGUGCAGAUGACAAAGGGUUGAGAGGCCAAUUUGACGGGGAACUCAAAAGUGUGUUGGAGAUCGGGCUCAUGUGUGUCAACCCGGAUCGUCAGCGUCGUCCACACAUCAAAAGAGUGAGGGGUUUCUUGAUGCAACUGCUAUUUUUAGUGUCCACUUCAAACCCCACCAUCCCUUCUGGAGUAAAUGGGAGGGGACCAAGUAGCUCCAACACAUACCCUGCGCAUUCACCGGCCGAUGAAGAAGCCGACGAUUCACCACUGCUAGUCUAGCCUCAAUAUGAGGUACCCCCUCCAGCGAAGGACUGCCAAAUGAAGUUCAUAAUUUCCACAAAAAAUGAAGUGAAGUUCGCCAUGGAAGAUACUUCUUCCCUCUUGUUAACUAUAUGCUGCAUCCAUCCAUUCACCCAUCAUGUAUGCCUGUAUUACCUCUUUCUCUAUGUGUGAUACAGUAAUAAACAUAUAUAUAAUGUGAAAAUGUAUUGAAUGAUGAAUCUAAUAGUGUUGAUUUGGUAUUAUAGAUGUUGAUAAUUUUUUUCUAUAGUUUGUUUUAAAAUUUAUGUAGUCUAACUUACAACGAUAGUAAUACACCUUGAAUGCACCGAUACGGAUACGGGUAUCAGUAUCGGGCCAAUACGGAUACGUUGUAGCUACCCAAAGCAACCUGGAGAAGAUGAAAAUAAGAAAUCCUCAGAGAUCAGAGAAGAAAGAAGAGGAGAUGAGCCUGGCUGGGCAGGAGAAAUGGAGAAGAGAAGUGUAAAUACAUGGCUGCUGCGUGAGAGGGGACGUUGAUGAGGAGGAGGAGGAGCUUGUUGACGGCUAGCCGCCGCCGCUGUCCCAGGGACCUGGGUGAGCAGCCGCUGGCGACACAGGCGCCGCCUGGUGUGAGCACGGGAAGGGGGAAAGACGUUGUGAGGGAAAGGAUAGAGGGCAUCACGGCACCAGGGUAGUUGGUUGCCUCUUAAAUGGGCUGAGUGGGCUCUUACCUGGGCUGGAAAAGUAUCCAAGACGUAUUAACAAAGUAUCCUUCGAGUAUCGUAAUUGUUUUAAAUCAUUUAUUCUCAGAUACUCCAGGGACACGUAUCGGGGGCGUAUCGGAGGAGUAUCAGUAUCGGAUACGGAUUCGCUGGUCGACUGAAGUAUCCGUGCAUUCGAGUAAUACACAAAGUAAAUCCGUAAAAAAACAUCCUAAGUAAGUUGAAACGGCGGGGUGCGAAAAAUAUCCAUUUUCAAAUCCUACCGAUUUCACUAACCAAACCAAGGAAGCAGCGCACUGGAUUUGCGCUGGCAAUGUCUUUUGAUACAUGUGCAAAAUCGUCGUUAAAGCAAUUUGUGUAUGCAUACACACAACGAAAUAAAGGCAGUAUACAUAUUGCAGCCAGAGCAUUCGCAUCUCUCAUCCAAUAUUACAGCAAACCAGCAGGAGUACAUCAGGAAAUCAAGAAACAUGGCACCAUGUCCUCACCCGACAACAGUCCACCAGUCCCCAGAUCGGCGGAUCGAUCGAUGGAUCAGCGAAGCUCGUGGAUCACUUGUUGUUCAUGAGCACCUUGACGAGCUCCUUGCACUGGACGCGGCCCUCGCCGCGGGGGUCGGCCUUGCGGAGCAGCUCGUCGGCCUCCUCCUCCGUGAGCCGGUCGCCGUGGGUGAGCAUCACCUGCCGCAGCUGCUCCGCGGGGAUGACCCCGCUCCCGUCGUCGUCGAACGCGUCCAGGCACUGGGCCAGGCCCUUGGCCGACACGCCGGCGUUGGCCUUGCGCGCCGCCACGGCCAGGAACGUGGGGAGGUCGACGGCGCCGGCGCCGCCCGCGCCCGCGUCCUCGAGGAAGCCCCGCGCCUCGGCCUCGUCCACGUUCUGGCCCAGCGAGCGCAGCGCCGUGACCAGCUCGCCGGCGGCGAUGCGGCCGUCCUCGUCGCCGUCGAACAGGUCGAACACCUCCUUGCACUCGUCCGCCUGCGCCUGGGUCAGCUUGGCCGCCAUGGCGGGGAGAGACCAGAGAGAGCUGAACUGCUGAAGGGAUAGGGGAAAGAAAUGGACUGAUUGAUUGGCCUAAUUGCUGUCCGGGCUGUUCGUCACGAUGAAGCAACCUAGCGAAGGUCGCUUUUCUUUUCUUUUGACAGGUCAAAAAUUAAGAGAGAUCAUAAGCAAUGACAACUUUCCCUCUCUCGUUAUUCUCCGAAGCAAAUCGCUUUGAACUCUGCCGAUUUUAGCAUCUUUAUGGUAAAGAUAUUUAUAUUAUGAUAAAAAAAUCAACGGCUUAUGCUUUGAUGUAAACAACUGACAGGUUGAAAAGGGAAAAAGAAUAAUAGUUCAACGAGCUGGCGCCAACCAUGUGCCCAACAAUUGAUCAUCAUAGCAUAGCGACGUGCCAUCCACCACAUUUGGUUUCGAUCAAUCAUAAGAUGUGGUACAAGUUGCAAAUACAAUGCAGCUGUUGGAUUCGCUGUCGACUUGAGUUGUGUUUCGUCGUCCAACAACUGUACCAAGGCGAAUUUGCUCCAGCGCAGUUCAGAGAUCACUACCACCGAAGUUGUACAAAGUUCGCAGAAACCAAGCAUGCCAAAUGAAAUCCAUACAAUGUACUUCCGGCUAACACAAACCAAGCAGACAUUUAAAAUGCAGGGCGAAACCAAGAUUUGCACAAAGCCCCUAAAUUCCAUGAUAAGACGAAGCCUAACAGGCAAGAUAAGUGCCACAACCAAAAGAAACCAGGUAAUUCCGAUGCUGCUCCCCACGACUACACCGCUACAAGAUAACCCGACCAACUACCCAACAGGCAACAGUACUUAAAAAAACAGGCGCAUAGCACAAAAUACAACUUUGCGAGUCUGUCUGGCAUUCCAUUCCAAUCCACUUGAGAGCAAAUUUCAAGCUUAUUUCGUGGGAGGGACCCCUGUCCUCGCCACCUCACUUGGCCAUCAUGACCUUGACGAACUCCUCGUAGUUGAUCUGGCCGUCGCCGUCCACGUCCGCCUCCCGGAUCAUCUCGUCCACCUCCUCGUCCGUCAGCUUCUCCCCGAGGUUGGUCAUCACGUGGCGCAGCUCCGCCGCCGAGAUGAAGCCGUUCUGGUCCUUGUCAAACACGCGGAACGCCUCCUUGAGCUCCUCCUCCGAGUCCGUGUCCUUCAUCUUCCUCGCCAUCAGGUUCAGGAACUCGGGGAAGUCGAUGGUGCCGUUGCCGUCCGCGUCAACCUCGUUGAUCAUGUCCUGCAGCUCCGCCUCCGUGGGGUUCUGCCCAAGGGACCGCAUCACGGUUCCGAGCUCCUUGGUGGUGAUGCAACCUGCAGGAAAUUCAACAUCGAUAAGCAUUCGUUAUCUAGCGCUACGAAAUAAAAUAAGAGCAAGUUUACUUGGGAUUUAAGAUUGGUCUGUUCGCCGCAUAUAAAAUACCCAAUGUGGGACUGAGUUGGUUCUAUUGUCCUAAGAACACAUGAUAUGUCAUAAUACCUCCAAUCAGCAUGUUGGGCACUUACACGCGCCUAUAUAUUGUUACUAUAAGGAGCUGCAAGUUGGAACAGCUGGGAAUCGUAAACAAACAUGGCUUUAAAGACGCUUUCCUAAAGUGUCACUGACGUUCAUUUCAACAUACUGAAUUCUGGAAAUCAAUUUAUGAACAGCUGAAGAAAUGAUGGACCGCCAGGCAGAAGCCUUAAGAAAGCAGUGCUUAGGUUUAGCAUCAAUUGGAUUGUAUCCUACCAAGUAAAAAAAAGGUACUUCUUGCUGUCCAUUUAACAUAUGAAAUCAAAAGUCAACCUACAAUUCUAUAAGUCAUCAUGUACACAAUUAGAUAUGACACAGAUCACAGACCAGACCAACUUGCAUCUAAAGACGUGCUGAAACAUAGUCCUUUAAUGUACCAAGCAAGGAAAUAACUAUUAAAUGAUGCAGAAAUGAGCGACUAUGACACUAGAAAAGAGGAAUCUACAAAUCAAGUGCUGGUCUUAGACUACACAGUUAAGACUAGAUCUCCCACUUCUAGGCUAUCAUCAGAAGCUAGAUCAUGCUGGUACUGUCACCAAAAAGUCUCACUAAAAUCCUUGACAUCAUCUACUAGUACAUCACAGCCAGAUCAACACCUCCAAUUCUCCAUCUAGUCCACUAGUACAAAACAGAAGCUAAUUGACCUGAUCACUUUACAGCAGUGUAUGACAACAACCUGAUUCUCAAUCUCUCUCAUUAGAAGUUCCGAAACACUCUACAGCUCUAAACCCUAGCUCCUAAAUGCAACCAGUAGCUGCUGCCCCCGAAUUGUUCCUCCCACAGGAGCACCCCGAAAUCCUACAAGUCGGAAAUCCACCUUAACAGAGCAAUCCGCCUGCAGCCCGCCGCGGAACAAACAACAGGCCCGAGCAAUCCAUCCCGCGCAGGCGCUGGAACAACACCAAAGGCCUAAAGAGACGACGCAACCCAGGCAUCACCGACUGGAUCUAGAGCGCUCCGAGACAAAACCCAAUUCGGCCGGAUCGAGCCCGAUCCGGCCGGCCGCGAGAGAGAGACAGGGGAGAGGGGGGGUUACCGUCGCCAUCCUUGUCGAAGAGGCUGAAGGCCUCCUUGAACUCGGCGAUCUGCUCGUCGGUGAGCUGGUCCGCCAUGGGGGAGGGAGGGAGGAGGCUUCGAGAAGGUGCGCGCGGGACACGGGGGGCGGCUGCGGGAAGGGGAAUAAUAAACGGGGCGCGGUGGUUGGCGUUGGCGAUGGUGCCCUGUCCGUGGGCUGGGUUUUAUAGACCGGUGGCGAUUAACGAGGGGGAAGGUUUGCUGGAACCGCCGGUUUUGUAUCCGGUUCCCCUUUCCUUUUCUUUUUCCCUUCCUUUUCCCUUUUUUCCUUCCUUGGAUCCUUGGCAAUCUAUGGUUCCAUUCAUACUCGAUUGCGCAACGAUGGUUUCCAUGUUUAUUCUUGUGUGGAAUUAGGAUUCUAUAUACUUUAGGCUCCAUUGAGUUCUGAGGUAUCUUUUGUUUGAGUAUAUCGAUGUAUAAUAAAGACUUAGCAAUGAGUAUUCGCAAGAAGAAGAAAAAGACUUAGUAAUGAGAGCUGAGUGCAGCGGCCGCCAUGGUGAGAGUUGAUACAUGAUGGUCAUGAAAGGUUGUCCCUAUUAUUUAGCACCUCAACAAUGAUAAAAAAAGUGUUAUGGUGUAUAGAGCAUCCUAAAGGAUGUAGAGAGCCAAGGAAAAAAGAAGGGCGAGUGUGCUACAAAGGGAAAAAGCACACAGAAGGAUACCAUGUUGCAUGUAAACCUGGGCAUCCUCCGGGCGGGGCCUAGUCCGGGUCAGGCUUUACAAAGCCCAACCUCAAACUCCCAAUCCCAUUCCCGAGCCCGAAACACAUGAACAGUGCACUUUUAAAAUUAAAAUGAUUAUUUUUAGGAUAUUUAAAUGAUAUAAUAUACUUAUAUUUCUAAUAAAGUAGUUAUUUAUGCCAUGUCCGGGCUUUUUCGUGCUUUCGAGCCGGGCUUCGGGCGAAAAAGCUAAGCCCAAGCCCGGCCCGGUGUCAGCUUUCGGGCCAGGCUGUCCGGGCCGGGCUAUCCAUGCCAGGGUCUAGUUGCACGUAAUGGAGUUCCUUAACCGAACAACUAGCAAGAUUACAUGUUUCAUUGAUAUAGGGAAAGUAUCUGAUGCACUAGGGCUUGCGAUGCACUUUUUUGGUAGUAUUUUGUCUAUUCAAGGAGUAUCAGUUUGAAAUUUUGUGACUCGUUAGAUGCGAGUUUCCUGCUGUCUAGAAUUUGCUCUCUUUUUUCAUUCUUCACAAUUCUCCUGUCCCCUUUCUUCUUUUUCUCUUGCGGGGAGACUGACAUAAAUCAACUCAUUGCGGUCCGUUGUUUUUCCUCUUCAAAGUCACAACAAAGUCAUCCCGCAAAAAAAAAAAGUCACAACAAAGUCGCCGUACUAAAUGGGACGAUGUGACUGGUAUUUAUCUCAAACCUUGCGAGGAGGGAGACGAGUCAAGGCGAUGGAGCUAGCAAGUAGCAAGCCGGACCAGGUCACUGCUCCGUCACCGUCAGAUCAGACAUCAGUCCAUGGCGCACAGGAGCCGGCCAAGAAGUUCAGGUCAAGACUGACGUCAAAACACGUCGUCGUCGUUAUCUUUUUCUUCGUGACGUGGCAAUCAAUGCGGUGUUUCGAGCCGAAAGCGAUGCGUUUUUUUCUUCUUCCAGGUGUUAGCGAUGCGUUUGCUGGCGAGGGCCUUGUUCUUGCAUUUCGUUAUGUCCGUCCGAGCCCAGCAAGCAUGCUUAUGGGCAUUUUUCGCGUCCCGCGACGAAAAGGCCCGUGGGCUUAUUUCGAAACCGUCGCAGAGAGCUGAGAUAAGAGGGAGGAUUAACUGGCCUCUAAAUACCAUAAAGAAAAAAAAAUCUGGCCUCUAAAAUAGUGGGGGCAAUGGAAGUUGGAACGGAAUGUUUUCCAUUGGGCGGCUGCUACCCAUAGACCGGAUGAUAACUUGCAGUUAUCAUCCGCCUUAUCUGCCGUUCGAUAUGCUUAAUCAAGCUCGUCAGUUUGAACCCACACAUCGCAUCAUGCUUGUCUUCACCCGCAGCAUCUUUUGCAGCGUAGACAAAAAACCGCUCCAUAACAGACGUCGUCACAACUCCGGCGAGCGGGGUUGCCGGCGGCCGCUUGCAUCAUCCAUGGCAGCAGCUCCACGGCAGCACCGUCGGCGCCCGGCGGCGCUGUGAUUGCCGACAACGCUUCAUUGCAACCCAAGUGAGCUUCAACGGGCCCCGCAGCGCGUCAUUGCAACUCCGGCGGCUAUCGGCGAUGCUUCAUUGCAACUCCGGCGCUCCCCGGCGAUGUUGCAUCACAACACCGUCGGCCGGACGAUGUUUCAUUGCAACUCCGGCGCUCUCCGGCGAUGUUGCAUCACAACACCGGCGGCCGGAUGAUGCUUCAUUGCAACUACGGCGCUCCUGGCGAUGUUGAACUACAGCACCGGCGGUCCCCAGCGAUGCUUCAUAGAAAAUCCGGCGGCCCCCAACUGCAGCAUCCCGCCACUUGCUUGAAGCACAGCAGAGCGCCGGCGGCCCGAUGUUGCGCAACUCCUCUCCUCAGCCUCCCCGAUGCAGCAUGUGCGCCGAGUGGCGACCGCCUCGCGACACCGUCGUCGUCUACAGCUCCGGUGGCUGCUACCACGCAGCCCUGCGGGAUCUCGCGUCGCCGCCCACACCAUGCGCACCAUCGCCCGCCUCGCAGCAACGGCUUGUCGUCGAACGACAACCAUCACGGCGCAGCGACGCCCCUUAUAGCAGCAGCAGCUCCGCCCGCCGUCGGCAAACAUCGACGGAUGCUGCGUCGAGAGUGUUUCAUCACAACGUCGAUGUGCUGUGUCUCAACAUGGCCGCCAGCCGCAUCGCGUCAGCAGCGGUGGUGCUUGGCGGUGCGGCCUUGUGCAUGGCAGCAACCGUGCGGCGGUGCUGUGAUAUGAGAGAAAAGAGAAGGAAAAAUGAGCCUUCGGUCUGCUGAGAAGAAGAAAGGGCGACAAGAUAAGAUUGGAGUGGUGGAGAGGAUAGGUACGUGGGUGGUCCCAUGGGAAGCGUGGCCAACGGAGGAGGCGGUUUAUGCGACGCGAAAGAUCAGCCGGGUGAUUUAAAACAUUUCCCUUUCCAUUGCUGGGAGAAUCGUCCAAAGCAGUCUGUUUCUUGUGAUUCUCAAAAAAGAAAAAGCAGUCUGUUUCUUGUGAUUCUCAAAAAAAAAAAAAAGCAGUCUGUUUCUUGUUAGAGCAGCAAAGUAUCAUCGGUUCUCACCUUUUCCCAUUUUGUCUCUCUCUAAGAAAUGUCUUUAUUUCGGCUCAAAAAAAGGAAAUACUUUUUUUCGAACUUCAAAUUCUCCCUGUCCUAGUUCAUUCAGAAAAGAAAAAGAAUCAUUCCCAUUCCCAUGGUCACAAGUAGAAGAAUGCUGGGUAGGUUUACCUCUUUGUCUAGGUUACAGAAGAUCUUCAACGGGAUUAAAGCUCCAACCGUCCCUGUCGCUGUUGAGCCUUUUGACAAAUGCGGCUAAGCUUUGUGAUCGCGAGACGCUAUCAGUCUACCCUGGCGGUCUCUUUUUGUACCAACAUCCACAUCACUUGCGUUCGGAUGGAAUUCUUUUCUUCCAGUGUCUUAGUUACCUACGCCUCCCAAGAACACAUUGGCCUCUCAACUUUGUCCAUCCUACAGAACUGCUCACACCUACCAGUUCACUCAAAAGUUUUAAGACAAGAAACAAAAUGCAGACAACAUAUCCAGCACAAACAUGACGACUGGAUUAAUAUCUGACAUGACAGAUCACAAAACAAGACCAUACAUUUUCACAACACUCCCUCUUGCUUCAUUUCGCCGGAGUUCAGACGGUUCAAACCCCACGCCACAAGAACAGUUCACUCAAGAAACACAGAAAGAAGAAAAGAGAAACAGAUGGUUCCGGAACCCCCCUUAUGUACAUUGUCAAACUACGCUCUCUUAUUCACUCCCAUCAGUCCUAAUCAGCCACCGUUACUUGUUCCAUCUUCCACCAGCGGCAUCGGUCAC
Molecule: long non-coding RNA, 80051 nt
Filed under: Triticum aestivum (bread wheat)
Lineage: Eukaryota; Viridiplantae; Streptophyta; Magnoliopsida; Poales; Poaceae
Description: long non-coding RNA (TAES_LNC019587)
Source: RNAcentral